CUUUACCCUCUUCACUUCCCAUUACCUUCUUGCAAUUGUAAAUCCUCUCAUGACAAUGAGAGGCUAAAUUCUUCCAUUGUUGGGAGCCUAGCAACCAAACCUCUUGAUGUAAUUUUUCCUACUAUCUACUUAAUAUUAUUUAUAUUUUAUUGUCUCUUUUCUAUGCUUAAUCUUAUUAAUUGUGGCUUAAUUACCCAUAUUCAUGUAUAUGUUUUAAGAUUUAUGUAUUGAGAAAUGUUUAUUUCCUAAGAACUGAAAAAGGACAUCUAAAUAAUUCAUAUCUAGAAAUAAAAUGACAUUGUUUGGUCUAUUUUAUGCAUCUAUGUUUAUAAUGCAAUUUAACUAGCUUAUUCUUUUAAGGGAUUAGGAGAAAGAUUGGGUAAAUUAGGUUUUUUUACUCGAGGAAUUAUGAUUAGAGUAUAUGAUAUGAAUAUAUGUAGGUGAUAAUUAGAAUAAUAUUAAAUAGAGAAAGAUCAUUAGUUUUGAUAGACUAGGCUCCAACAUAUCCACAAUCAACAAAGAAUUUGUUUUUCUUCUCUUGCAUAUUUUAAAUAAUUAGUUUAAUUUUAUGUCCUUUUCACAAAUCUUUAAGUCAAUUCAUUAAUUGCUUAAAAAUUGAGUGUACACUAAUCUAAAUAUAAAUAAAGUUCUUAUAGAUUUGACAGUACAUUUCCAUUUUACUUUACUCCUUAAAAUAAUUUGAUGUCCUUGGGAAUGAGUUAACAUGGAAACUCCAAACCUUUGAGACUUUCUUUAACCAUAAUAAAGGCACACUAAGCUUGUGUUUGGAAGCGUGUUGGCAACGUAAGUAUAUAUAAUAUAUGCAAAACCACCUCAAUUUGAGAGAAAAACGCGUAAGCUACUCUUGGUAGCAUAAUCUACCUGGACACAUAUCAGGUCUCAAACGAGAAUCUAAACGCACUGUAAGGCUGUUUGUUUAUUUGUUUAACCAAGGAGACAAGACAUGUUAAAUAAAACAAAGAAAAUCUAUCAUCAGUGAAGUAGUUUUGAGACUCAUACAAAUUGACACUGAUAUCCGAGUCUGUUCAGCUUAAAAAUGGGUUUGUGAAAUCUUGUGCUUAUAUUUCCUGUUCCCAUAGCGCAUCCUUUCAGCAAAAGAGCUGAAAUGGUUAUCUAUUAAUAUCACAUGCGUGAGUCGAAAAAAAGUUUCAUGGGAUUUUCAUUUUAUGGUUCCAGUUUCACAACUCAUCAAAUGUGUAGAUGAAGAAGCAAAACGGCAUAAUGACAGAGGCUUGUCUCUACUACGGAUUUACCUUGUUCCUUGUUUUGUUUCUAUGCCAACUAUGGUCCCUGAUUUUGGCUUUGCUGGUGGGGAACCACUUCAAAGGAUUUCAUCUUUGGAGUUCUAAUAGAGAUUUUGCACCCCAUAUGUAUUGUUAAAGCUCAUUGGUGUCCUAUGACUUUUCUUGAUGCUCCUGCAACAGUGCUUCAACCAAUGAAAAUUUUGUUAGACUUUUGCUUCUGCGAUCCAAUUAUCCAUUGCAUUAUAUUACUCUCUUUAUUUGAUCUAAUUUUAUGAGCCCUAUGGCAUGUUUAGGUCUCUAGGACCAUACCUUUUUUGGUCUGAAGUUCAUCCUCUUGCCUCAGUUUGUGACAUAAUUAACCAAGUUGGAGUGCUGACACCAGCAUUUGCAGUUCUUCAUAAAGGCUGGGAAUCAUUAUUCCUCUGUGAAUUCUGAUCCAACUAUUUCUAGAAAUGAUUGUUUAUAACUCAACUUAGAGAAUGUUUGCAUUAUCCCACACAAAAUCACAAUGUAGGGUUGACAGGUAAUCUGUAAAAUGUUUCUUUGUGCUAUUUAACAAUCAUAUAUAGGAACUCUAUCAGUGGGUUGAUAAUGUUAACUUUCAUCUAAAUAAAUUGGAAGUUGAAUUCAUGUUUUUUAUUGACAAAUUAAUGGCAGGGAGAAAGGAAUUGAACCCAUUAUAUUUUCCAUUAGUGAGGUCACGGAAAGAUUAAAUUAGUUACUUUGAAUGAAUUAGUUGAAUUACUCAAAAACCAGAAAGUUAAUUUCACGCAUAUGAAAAUUGACACUUCUAGUCUGGGGUGAGUGAUUCAAGACUAAAUUGAAGUUUUAAAUAGAAGAAAAAACUAAUUUGAAAUUAGAAUUGAGAUGAUAUAACUUUUUGGGAUAUACAAAUUUAAACACAAUAAUCUUUUGGUGUUGGCAGGUUACUCCUAGAUCAAAUGUUUUUUGCUAUAUGGAAGUACAAAAUCACCAUAAAAGGCCAAAUGAAUGUCUCAUCUUCCUGAACUACGUACUCUCUUUCUCUCUCUCUUUCAAUAAGUCUUGAGAUAUUUGAACAUGUGAGGGCCUGCUUCACUCCAGUACAAAUUUUGAUUGAUUGAAAUUUUAAAGGAUUUGACGUUUGAUGCUAUCAAAUUUUAUAUUUUAAACUAGUUUAAAAUAUUUUUCCAACUCAAAGUAGAAAGGAAAAUGAUGGCUGCACACCCACAUAUUACUUGAGAUCUAGAGAAAUAAAAUAAAAAAUGUAUAACCAAAAGUGAUAUCAUCUCAUAUCAUAACUGUUCCAAGAGUGAUACUACCACCUUCUCAUAAGUCAUAACUGUUGAUCUUUAAUGCUAAUGCACAUUGAUUACUACUUUAUACUUAGCAAACGAAGUUGCAGUCAACCAUUGUUACUGGGUUCCACCUUUGGUUACAUGUGAUAAUAUUCAUGAUACCAGUCUAAAAUUCAUUAUGAUUUUCUCGGCAGCACCAAGAAAGUUCCAUAAUUAAAACUCGUGUGUCAGUUGGCACUUGGCAAUUGGCAUGCAUAUAUGGCUUUUUUUAUUGGGUCGACGUCAUCUAUAUGGCUAAUUUAAGAUAAUGUAAGCGCACAAAUGUACUUUGGGUCCCUCGAUGCCCAACAAUAGGCCUGUAGGCCAAUGGGUUCAGUUUCAUUGGGCUUCGUCUUCAUCUCUCAAUCCCAACUCUGUCAUGAUGUCUAUUUCCCCAUGAAUCAUUACAUAAACAUUUUUAUAUACUACUUAUCAAGAAAUAUUUAUUAUUUUUUUCGAAACUAACGAUCAUUCUUCUUAAAAGUGGGCAAGUUUCUCUUUGAAAAGACUAAUGGGCAUUCUUGUUUCUUCCGAAUAUUAUUUUGUGACUUGUCUGGUAAUAAUACAUAACAUAUAUAAAUCCAUCUGGCAUUGUUGUAAAAUUAUAAACAAAAAAACAGUGGUUUGACAGGAUUUGUAAUUGUAAUAUAAACCCUCAUCAAUAUUUUGGGCAGAAGCAACAAGGAAUUUGUUGGGCUUGAAAAUUUAAGCCCACGUCAAAAUUUUGGGCAGAACCAACAAGCCGAAUCUCAAUUUUUAUUUAUUUUAACGGGGAAUGCUAAUUUUAGUUCACAAAAUCCAGAUCGCGGCACAAGGGUGAUCGGGGACAUGCUAAUUCCAUAGUAAGUAUAUAAGUUAGUUUGAUUCUCUAAAGGUUACAAAGUUUAUAUAGUGAAACAUUGAUGCUAUUUCUUAAUAGAAAUAAUAUAGAAAAUUUUAAAAACAACACAUGAGAAGUAAUUUAAUCUAUAAUUAUUUCUAUUAAGAAAUAAAAUUAAUUUUAAAACAACACAUGAAGUAAUUUAAUUUAUGAUUAUUUAUGUAAUUAAUUUCUAUAAAUUAUACAUUUUUUAAUUUAUGUGAAAAGAAACCCUUAAAGAAAUAAAAUAUUAGUAAGUAAACUUCCAUCAAUUGCAAUCGCUGAAAUAUUGAAGAAAUGCGAGGAAGUGGACGAAAGCGCAAAAAAAAAAAAAAAAAGUAAACUUACGAUUCUUUGAUAUCAGCAAAACAGAGAAGAAAGAUUUUUAAGAAAAUUUGGUUUUCAUGUGUACAAAUUUCUACUCUCAUGAGUGAAGAAAGACGUGGAAAUGGAAAGCUUUAUCAAAGCAAUUCGCUUUUUUUUUUUUUUAACACAUAAUUAACUAAUAACUAUGCCAUGUAUAUACAUAAUCAAUUUUUUAUUUUGACUUCGUGCAUACAUAAUCAAUAUAUUAUGCUCAGCACAAUCGAUCAUGCGUGUAUAUACAUAAUCUUAUUCUCUUUAUUUCUCUUAAAUCAACCAAGCAACAUUUUCACUUAUUUCUAUUUUAUUCUUUUCUCACCUACUUAUUUCCAUUCUCUUUAUUCUCUCCGCACACCCUUAAAUAACUUACAGUACUUCUAUGUAACAGUAGUUAACAAAACCGAAUUUUUAUGUAUCCGCAGACCGCAGUCAUUGCAUGCCAUGAAUGCACCUUGUAAUCUUUCAUUUCCCAUGUGAUAUCGGGUCAACAGCAUGCACAGUUCACAUUACCAAAUGAGUGAAAUGACAUAAUGAUGACACAAUUGUUUUUAUUUUGGAGCCAUCAUUCUAUGUCAAAAGAGUCAUAUAUACCAGAAUUCAAGGCCACGGGCGUAAAUGCUUCAAUUCAAAUAUAAAGAACCCAAUAGCCAUUAUAAGUGCUGCAUGGUAAUCAGAUGCAAGUCCCGAAUAAGAUGACCUACAUGUUGUGGUACAAAUCAAUAAGAAAAGAAAUAUGCAACCGGUAAGAUUGAUUUGAUACUUGAACUUAAUUUGUGAUCGUCCUGCAACCGUCGCUCUGAAGCUUGCGCUGAUCACUUGCCGCAUCUGGUAGGUGAAAUUACAGAAAAUUCCUAAGAAAACUGAAAGAGCAUAAAACCAUACAUAAUACAAUGAUAUGAUAUGAAUAGAUAGAGUAGCAAUCACUGGGUCUUCCUAAGUUAUAAGACUAAGCUUCUCUCAGGUUUAAGAAGUGUAGGGUUCCCUGUGGUAUCCUCGGCAUUGUAAUUCCUAUUGGAUAAUUAGAGAGUCAAGUCCUGAUGUUUUCUUCUUUGACCCUACUCUUUAAAUAUUCUUAUUUUUUUUUAUAUGGGUCAAAGAUCAUCCAUGUUAUCCAACUCAUGAGAUCAUAAACUAAUUGUUUUUGAGUUGUAUUAUUGCUUCAAGGAAAUUUUAAAAAAAAAAAAAUCAAACACAAAUUUUUUCACUAAAUAUAAUAUAUCAUUUUUCUUACAGGUAAAAAUAGUAAAAUAUACACUUUCUCUUAUCAUUAUUACACAUGUAACCUUUAACAAUAUUUUUUUUUUGUCUAACACUUAAUAAAAAUAUUAGUAAAAACUUGUAACAAUAUUUAAAAAAUAUCAACAAAUACAAAUAAAUGUUAUUAACAUGUUUUCAUGAUAUUUUAUCAAAUGUUGUGUACUAGCGACAUGAAUUAUACACAACAUUUGAUAAAAUAUCCCAGAAAAUGUUAGUAACAUUUAUUUGUAUUUUGUGACUUUUUUUAAAUGUUAUUAAAAGCUUUUAUUCAUAUUUGUUGAUACUUUUUUAAUGUUAUUAAAAUAUUUGUAAUAUUUUUACUAAAUAUUAAAUAAAAAAUGUUACUAAAGAUCACAUGUGUAAUAGUAUAUAUUUGCUUUGUUGAAUUCUAUUUUUUGCUGUUAGUUAAUUUCUUUUCUGCUAAAGUUAGUUAGUUAGUUUUUUAGUUUUCUAUUAUAGACACACUCAGCUCUAUACAAGCUGAGUUCUCUUUGUAUUUGAUGCAUUUUAAUUGAUAAUGAGAAAUGAUGAGCACAAUGCUCUUUCUCUUCCAAAUUUAUAUUUUCUACAUGAUAUCUUUAACUGGAUUCAGUGACUCUGAUUAAGGAGCUUGUUUUGACACUCAAAGAUCCAUCACAGACAUAUGUUUCUUCUUAGGAACCUCACUAAUUUCUUGAAAGAGUAAGAAACAAUCCAUUGUGUCCAAGUCAUCCUCGGAAGCUGAAUAUUGGACUCUUGCUCAAGCAUCUUGUGAAGCACAAUGGUUAUUGUUCUUACUAAAGGAUCUUCAUAUUGAGCAUAGUUGUUUUCUACUGUGACAAUCAAGCUGUCCUGCACAUAGCCGCAAAUCCUAUUUUCCAUGAACAAACUAAGCAUAUUGAAAUCGAUUGUCAUGUGAUAAGAGACAAGGUUCAAUUUGGUUUGAUUCACCUUUUUCCCAUCUCCACUCAUAAGCAAUUGGCAAGACACUCUCACCAAACCUUUAGAUGCUCGUCCCUUCAAUCAUAUUCAUUCCAAGCUAGAAAUGCUUGACAUUCACAUUCCAGUUUGAGGGAGUGUUGAAUUAUGUUUUUUGUUCUGUUAGUUAAUUUCUUUUCUGUUAAAGUUAAUUAGUUAAUUUUUCUGUUUUUUGUUAGUUAGUUUUUUAUUAUAGACAAAGUCGGCUCUAUAUAAGCUGAAUUCUUUUUGUAUGUGGUACAUUUUGAUUGAUAAUGAGUUCUCUUUUAAAUCUAUUUUUCCCUUCCAAAUUUAUAUUUUCUACAUGCUUUAUUAAAAUAAAUUUAAUUAGGAUGUCGGAAUUUUUUUUGGCAAAAAGUUUUCUAAAUUUUUGUACAAAUUAGUUGUAGAAACAAUAUUACUGUUUCAUUUUCUUAUACAAUUCGAGCUUUGCUGUGAUAUUUUUGUUAAUAGUUAAUGGUGCAGUCAUUAAAAUCCUUCCGGGAGAGCCAGCUAGCUGCCCAUGAAAAGCGUCGUAAGAUCGAGUAAAACUUGGGCUUUGCUAUUGUUAAAGGAUACAUGGUGUCCUAUAGCUGGGGCUCAUUAUAUUAUUCAUUUAAUAGUACACAAUUGUAAUCGCAAUAUCAUUAAAAUAUGGGGGAAAACCGAUUUAAUAGUACACAGUUGUUGGUCGAGAUAGUAAAGUUGGAUGCGAAGUGAAAAUCAGGCUAUAUCAUAGACGAGAUCAUUAAAAUGCAACUGAGCCAAAUACAACCUAUGUUACCUAACCCCUGCUACGAAAUUCAUAAAAUAAUUAUCAUGCCUGUAUAUUAAUCUCUUGCGAGCUAGAACUAGUUUUUGAAAAACGUGUAAUUCUUGUUUUUUCUAAUACAGGGGCGGAUAAAAAAAAUACGAGCAAACGGUGGAAAAUAAUUAAAUUCUACUAGUAAUAUAUAUUAUAAAAUAGCGAUAUUAACAGAAAAAGGUUAAAAUAUUAAUUAGACUUAUUACUUCUGUUUGUCAGUGUAAGUAACUAGUAUUAGUUUAAUAAUUUCAACAAUUAAUUAUAGGUUUAUAGUAAUUGUACAAUACUAGUACAUUAGAAUAAAACUGUAAUAUUUAUAUAUACUAAUAAUUUAACUUAUGUUAAAUAAAGAGUAUGCUGGUUUUUUUUGACAGACAAAGAGUAUACUGAUAAAAAUAAGUAAUACCUAAUUGUUAGUACAUAUUGUUUUUAGUAAUACAUGAUUAAAUUGAUAAAUUAUGUAAUUUUAAAAUAUUUUUUAGGGGAACCCACCCUUUGAAUUGUUCUAUUUGUUUAUAUAAAUUCUAUAUACUUAUUAGUAACAACAUUAUAACAAUAACAACAAUUUUUUUUCAUUAAAAAGAGUCACUUGCAUCAUAAAACAACAUUAAUGUUCCACUCUAAAUUAAUUACUAUAUAUGUAGACAAAUUAUUGAUGUUUAGACCAUUUUUAAUGAUUUUAAUAUGUAGAUUGUUUAGUUUAUAUUCUUUUACAAACUGAAUUAAUUGACAAAUCUGUUUGGUAAUAGUAAUUGGUCAUAUCUAAAGGUUUAAGUAAGCUAAUUAUAUUUGAGUCAUUUUUGUUUGUAAUAGUAGUUUUAAAUUAUUUUUAUAUGAUUACAUCACUUUUGGCUACGUGGGUAAUUAAGAUAAGAUAAACAAGAUUUAUUGACUUAGUAUACAAGAAUACUGAGAAAAAACAAAAAAUAACGUGGCUAGCUAGCAUAGAUGCAAUGCAGCAAAAGGUAGUUUGUAAAGAAGGAGAUAGAUUUUGCCUUGAAAUAAUAUAAAAAAAUUUCUUUAAAGACUAUUUAAUCAAAUUAGAGGAAUUGGCUUUGCUGAAUAUGAUAUAUGAUUUAUGGUAGGUGAAUAUGUGUUGGUUAGUCUCCCUUUCUCUCUCUGAUAUAAGGUACAAAAUAUUAUCAAAUGUGAUUAUUUUAAUUUGAUUAAAAAUUUAAAAUUUAAGUCUGAAUAGAUAAUUAUUAAAUAUUUAAACGAAAAAUUUUACAUAAGAUUGUCUCACAUCACAUGAAAGAUAAUUAUGAUUAAUAAUUAAGGUACAAAAUUUACAUCCAAAUAUGACGCAAUCACACUUAAUGUUUUCCUGAGAGAACCUAAAGAAACCAUAGCUUGCGCACUUUUCUGUAGAUAACCAAACAUGCAGAAACCGUACAACCACUACCACCUCAUGUUGUGUCAUCUUUGUACAAAUUCUCUCUCCUCUUCUCCUCCCCCUGGCCCUAGAUCUCUGAUUCUCACUCUCUCGAGGUUUUCAUAAUCAUGACUUUGCUUUUCAAAGCAAUCAUUCUCUCUAAUCUAUAUCCAUUCCCUACUCUCUCAAGGUUAUAUUAACCGUAUGCGUCUGCAUUGUUCUUUCAAUCAGCGUCUUCAGAAAUUUUAAUGAAUACAUUAUACAUAUACCUGCUUUCUCAUUGGGAUAACUGUAUUUAUAUAAUUAUGAAAUUUUUGUGUAAUAAGAAAACACAGCCGGAUAGAAAAAGAAAAAUAUGUAGCAAGAUUAAUUACGUCAUUAAAAAGAUAAAAGGAAAAGAGAUAAUUAAAAAUAUUAAAAUGAUAAUAUAACUCUUCUGAGUUCUCAAUGGUUAUGACUUAUGAUCGUGUGCUAUAAUUAUAAUUUUAUGUGGGCAAAUUGGUCAAGUUUAUAAGCUUCUUCUCUAUUCAAGUUGUAACCGGAGGAGUACACACACUACAGUGCUUCACUUUUUUGUGCAUGACACAUAUUUCCUAAUCAUUUCUCUGAUCAUCAUGUUUCCCUCCUGGCCGGUAUGUUAUUUGUGUCCUUCGCCAUUUGUCAACACGAGCUUCUUUCUUUUUGUUUCAUAGUUAGUCACUGCAAAAGACUUGCACUAUUCCAUGUUUUUUUGCAUGCAUGAUAUAUACCUUUCCAUGGCAUUUCUGUAAUAGCAUUUUUUUCUCCUGUUAUAAGGUGCAUGGUUCUCUUCCUGUUCGAGUGUGAUCUUCAUUCUAUAUUGGGUGAUUAAAGAGGAAACAACCAUAAAGAAAAGAAAACCCCUUAGUGAAUCCCUUUUGCCACUAAGCAAUUAUAUUGUUAGAAAAAGAUUUUCUGAUAUUCAGUAGAAGCAAUUCUCUCUUGGACUAUGUCACUUUGUGUAAUCAAUAUCCACCAUAGCAAAAUUGCGUGUCUUGAUCUCUUUUUCUGGGUUUUCUAGAAUUUCUGAUGGAAAAUCGUAUCUCCUGAUUGUAACAUUAUAUAAUUUAUUUAUUCUUUUUGAAAUUUAGUCACUUAUCCUGAAUGCUGUAACCGUGGCCUCCGGUGCUGGCAACUUUACUACUCCAAAUGAAUUGGAACCGCAUCUUCAUGGUAAGUCCCAUCUUAAAUCUUUCUUCGUUUCACUGUGAUGUCUAUAUAUUCUUUGAUUUGUUCUAUAUUCAUAAAGAAUACUGCCUAUAUAGUACUAUAUAUCUCUGUGAUUCAUUCGAAAUUAGGAGACUGUUGACUUAAUUAGUCUCACCCUUUCAAUUUCCGUCUAUCACUUGAGUUAAUAUCUCCUAUUUUCUUUGUUUGAAUUAAUAUUAAAAACCCCAAACUUUUCUAGAAUCUUAAUUAGUCUCACCCUCUAUUUUUUAGUUGGGUACAACUCUAUUGUUAUUUUGAUUUUGCUUUAGUAGUUCUUUUAAAUGAGAAUUUCCAAAUCAUAAAUGUAAAGAGCAGCAAGCAUAAAAGUAGAAGCAUGAAUAGAAAAUACUAAUCAAACCGAUUUCAAAUCGAAAACACAGUUUGCAUGGCCCGUGCCCAUUGGCAAAUACCAUUCAGUUGUAGUACUAGUUCAUUUUGUUAAGUGGCCUCCUGCCAAGAAAACAGAAAAUGAAAACUAAUAUAUGUCACUCUCUGCUGUGACACCAAUAGUUUGAUAAAGAAAUGGAGGCACUAAUUAAGUUUCCUGUUGCCUUGAUAUAAACAUGAAAUUUUUUUAUGCAAACAGUUUGAAUAAAUUACUUAACCACUACUCAUAAUAAAAUAAAAAACUAGAAAAAAAAUCUUGUACAAAAUAAAAAUAACUUGCACAAGUUUUUAAUAACUCUUUCAUUCGUUUCCUGCAUAAAAUGUUAUAUUUUAGCCCUUAAAAUAAAUAUCAACAAAUCAAUUCCUAUUGUUAAAAAUUAUUAGAAAAUUACUAAUUUGUCUAAUAUUAUUUUUCUUACAUGCAUGUAUGAACCUUUCAAAAAAAAAAUCUUACAUGUAUGAAUUUUAAUGUAACAAGAAUAAAUUAAAAGAUGAGUCCUAUAUAUAUAUAAAAAAAAGAUAAAGACUGAUUUUGGAAUACUGUAUCAAUCUGUUUGACUUAAGAAAAAGUAUAUAUGAACGAGGAAAUUAGGAGAGGACAAAAGUGAGUCCAACAUAGAGAUACCACCUUAAGGUAUACCUAUUUAAAAUAGCAAUAUGGGCCUAUUUUUUUUUACUCUAAAAUCUAAAUAACAUAAGUUUGUAUAAUUAAAUUCUAAUUCUAAUAAUUAACAAAUAAUAAAUUUACCUAUUUGCAUAAUUAUUUAUCAUUACAAUAUUAAAGAGAAAUAAAAUUAUUUAUGGGUCACCAUGUUUUUUUAAUAUAAAUGCUACUAUCCUUUUAAACCAAAAGGCUAAUAAAGGAUAUUUAUUACAAGUGUCGUGAGUCAAAUCAUCAAAGCUCAUAAAGCUUAAAAAAGCAACACUGAGCUGAUAAACCAAACAAAUAAUUGAUAAGAUUUUAUUGAUUCUGAACAACUGAUAAGAUAAGACCCGGAGAAGGUAUGACUUUAGGCUGAGAUCCAAGUAGCUGGUGAUGAUUACUUUGGCAAUAGGUAAUUAGGUACCUGUCCAUUCUGGCAAGAUCAUUCCUACUCAAUGUCUGCAUGACCAUGACCCAGUCUCAAUGUACAUGGAUUUGAGGUUAAUAGAGAAUGUAACAAUACAUUUUUUUAAUGAAAUUUAUAAGUUAUAAUUUUAGUAUAUCUAAUGAGUCACUUUUUUAUUUUAUAAUUUUUAAUCAAAUUUAAUCAAUGAUAAAAUGUAAGUUAGAACUAACGUGUUAUUAACAAUCUUCUGUUCACCUGAAUAAAAUUUCCCACGUUUUAUAAUGACUUUAACCAUAAUUCUUUUUUAUAGGCAGACAAAUAAUUUUAUCGUAAAAAAAGAAAAAAAAAGUGUUAAGUACUAUAUGUACUCAACCAGUAGUAUGACUUUAAGGAGAAGUUGAAAGAGAAAAAACAAAUUAGUUUCUUAAGAAUCCUGAUGUGAGGAUUUUAAAUUAAAAAUUUUAAUUUUUUAUAUUUUAAAAUUUUUUUAUACCACCGUUUCUUAUAAAAUUGUUUCCACAUAAAGGUGAGUAUCUAAAUUUUUUAGGUUGAUUUUUUUUUAUUAAGAAUAUCAUACAAAUCUUUAUUAGAUUAUUUAAUGCGAUAAAAAAUUAAAAUAUUCCCCAUUCUUCUUUUAUUGUUUUUUAAGGUUUUCACUUAGAAUUCAAUACAAUCCCAGUAUCUUAUUCUAUUAUUCCACUUUUAUUCCACAAUAAAUACAUGUGUAAAAUAAUUAAAGAUUAGAUAAAAAAUAAAAGUUAUAAUUAAUAAAAGAUUAAUUGAUGUGAUGUUGAGUAUCACAAAUAACGGAUAAAUAAAAUAUUUUUUUUCAAAGAUUCAAUAAUUAAAAAAACAAAAAAUAAUUGAUAAAAUAUUAUGUUUUUUUAAUUCUUAAUUUUUAUAUAUAUGACAUCAAUUAAAUAAAUUUUAUUCAUAUGACUGUUCUAGGAAUUUAUCAACAAAUUUUCCGGAAAAUACUCCUCUCCACUAAUUUUCCUUGUACCAAAUUUCUCCUAACCUUAAUAUUCUAAACUUAAAAGUGUGUACUAAGACACGAUUAGAUAACAGCACAGAUCAUUCAGUCAUUCUACUCUAUAAAAUCAUUAAAUUGCUUCAAUUUAGCUUGCUUUUUACUCCUCCAAAAUCGAAGCUGAUCUUAUUUGUCCGCAACCGCAAGUACUCCUAUUUAAGAGCUUACUGUGGCUAGUCCCAAGCCAACCUUGUGCGGACUCUACUUAAGUUAAGGUUCAUAAUGUUCACUGUUCCAAUAAUAUAUGAACCUAGAUUUAACGACAAGAAUCUUGUUUUCAGAUAGCAAUAUUUUAGCAACGCCCGGUUCAGUUAACAGCACAAUUUGACAACAAAUGUUUUUCUUACCCAACCCAAGAUAUGAAACCGAAUAUUCUAUAUAUAUAUAUAUAUAUAUAUAUAUAUAUAUAUAUAUAUAUAUAUGAUGAAAAUAAAUGCAAGCAGGAUAGCCUAAUCUUUGUUUUAGGGAGUCCGAAAAAUAUUUUUAUUUAUUAAUAAUAUUUUUUUCUUAAUAAAUACUUCAUAAAAAGUUAAUAAUUACUUAAUAAAUAAUAUUAACUUAUUACGAUUAGCUAUAUUAAUAAUAAUAUCAACUUAUUACGAGUAAUUAUAUUUUUUUCACUCUUAAAAGUAGGCCCCUCAUCCUACUUUAUCUUGAAAUCACCAUUUAGAGCCAAUGACUUAUUUCCAACUUUAGAAAAUUGAAUUCCAUUGUCAUUAAUUCUAUAUAAUCUUCACUAUGGUUAUUGAAGUCCGAUUACAUGUAAUUAAUACUAAGAGUUAGUAAUUGUUCUAUUAUCGGACGUUGGCUGGGGAGCAGGGUUAUAAAGAUUGCAAGGUGAGCUAGGGCGUGCCAAUUAAGUUGGCGGCAAUUCUCCUUUUGCCUUAUUUAAUUUGUUCUAGGUAUUAAAAGCUAGGCAAGUGCUAAGCUCUAGUCUCUUUCUUGGUGGUAGUUGCAACGUGCUAUUAAGACAUGUCAUUUUGGAUGAAAGGGCUAACUCUAUCGAUGUGAGACAGUGAGAGAUGAGCAAAAUAUUGCGUAAACAUCUUCCAAAUUUAUAUUGUCGGCAUGAUAUUUUUCUCUUAAUUGAAAAAGGAUGGAUCAAGUUUGUUCUUUCCAUGUUGCCUAAUAGUUCAAGUAAGAGGCCAGUAGUUCCUCGGCGUCUUAACAUUUUGAUUUUAUCUCCAUUAUAUAUCUUUUUUGGUUUAUUGGUUCCUUGACGUGGAAUAGGAGCCUUAUUAAAAAUGCUAUAGAUUUUCUUCGACUUCUUUCUGCAUGGUUAAUUAGAGAUAAUCACCAAUGUUAUAUGCAAUUUAUUGAAUAUGAAACCUAGGGAAAAGAACCCAACAGACUUGUAAUCUAACCCACACUUAUCAAGAAGUAUUCUCUGAAAUAAUACUAAAAAUCUAACACACUUAAGUUAUUCAGCGAGAGCUUGACAGAUCUGAAUAAGAAUUCAAACUUAAUUAGACCAUAUUUACUUGUUAUAGUGAAAUUUGUAAUCUGUUAGAUAAAGACGCUCAGCUAACAUGAGCCAAUGUGUAUGAGGCAAUUCUGGGAGGGGUUUGAUAAACAAUUUUGAUAUUCUCUUGUUUUAAGUAAGGGUGUGGAAGAGAGUUGCCUUAAGCCUGACUUAGGUAUGACUUAGUAAGCAUAAUUUUUUUGUAGUUUCCACUCGUUAAAAAUGUAAACUUGUUUUUGUUUUCUUAAUAAGUUUAACUUGGUUCACUUUUAAAUCACAAGAUAACAGUUUUUUUUUAAUUUUUGUAUAUUUAAUUAAAAUAAUAUACACAUACAAAAGAGGGAGUGAGUGAGAGCUUUUAAAACGUAGGUUUGAACCUAAUUAAAUAUAAUUUUUUUAAUAAAUUUAAAAUAAACUCUCAUAAUAUCUUAGAGUGAGUUUCAGUCUACUAAUGAAUUAAGUUGAGGAGCAUUUGAAUGACUGGACUGACUUCCAACCUUCUAAUACAAAACACAUUAUUUGUUCUAUUUUUAUACUCCAAUAAAACAAUUUCCCAGAAUAUCUCUGCGAAAGACUGCUAGUGUUGACUAGCAGAUUAUAAAUACCUGCACCUGGAGGUCCUACCACAGAGUUGCAUGUAAAAAUUAUAGCAAUAACGGGUUAUAAGCUAUUAUACGUUUUUAACUCUAGCUAAAAUGUUGUUUUAUUACAUGAAUUUUAUUUUUAUCUAGCUCAACUUUAGAACAUGUUGAUUGUUGUACUUCAUUAUUUCCUUUCAAGGUUUCCCCUUUUUUUUGGGAGGCUGGAUGCUUAUCCCGGUUAAGUAAUUGAACUAGGUUAUUAAUUGCCGGCUGCUAGUUUGGCUCUUCAAAAUGAGUUUCUAGAAUUUGUUAAUUUUGGCCCAUGGAUCAUUUACAAAAUAUAAAUUUUAUUUGCCAUGAAAAGAAAAGAAAAUCUCACACGAGGUAUAGCUAGUUAAGCGCAGGUGAUUUUACUUUGGUUGGAUUUUUUGGUUAUAUAUGAAAAACAUUUAGACCAUUGUAGUACGUAUAGUUGCUUGGGCUUUACAAAGCAAUGGAUAGGGUAGGAAAAUUUGAACCACUCCACCCGGCAUCUGUCCUAUGAGGACUGGGUUAGUUAAUGCUUGGACUGUGUUUUGGGGACCAACUGUGGGACGAAUUUAUAGAAUGGAAAAUGAUGCACGAAUUUGUCAUAUUAGUAGAUGUGAUAGAUGACAUGAAAUAAUAAAAGAUAAUAAUGAUAAACAUGUAUUCUGUAAAUAGAAAUAAGAGAGAGAUAGAAAAAAAAAUUAAAGAAGAGAAAAAAAGUUAAAUAAUCUCAUCCUAAAUAGUCCAAUAAAAUUAUAUGGAAAUUUGUGUAUAAAAAUCUAAAUAAAUGGAUGUAAUUUUAUUGGGCAAAUAAAAUGAAAUUGUUUAACCUCAUUUUUAGUUGGGAUUAAUUAAACAAAUCCAAAAAAAUUAUAAAUAUACUAACAAAUAUAUGAGGGUGAAUAACCAGAAAAAUAAAGUGAAAAUGAGCUAAUUAAAAAACAAAGUAGAUGAUGCAUUUUUAGACAAAAUCAAAUUAUUUACAGAAGUUUCAUCUAUAGCCAAUAUGCAGUCAAAUCUCAUCUAUAUUGAUUAGUCGUUAUACAUUAAUUUAAGGGGGGGAGAGAAUGUAAUGCAUGGUUCAAAUUAUGGAUGCAGAGAAAAUGGUGCUAGAGAGAGACAGCAGAAAUUUUUGGCUGAUUUUUCUAUACAAUAUUUUUCUUUCUUCUAUAUUAGUAAGUAUUUACUACAAUAAAAAGAGAGAAAAGAAAAAAGACGGAUACCAAUAGAGCGUUUCCCCUAUUGAAAUGUUUUAAAAAAAUAUUACUCUUAUUUUUUUUGAAAAAAAAAAUACUUAAAUAAAACUUACUAUUCUGGUUCCUUUUUAAUUAUGUUUUAAGGUUCCAUAGAAAUCAAGUAACAAAUGUAAUAAAUUUUCUUGGUCUAUUAAAAUGGUUACAUAAUUUUCUAUUUUAUCCUUUUUAUUUUUACUCUACAAUACAUGUAUAUAUUAGUUUUUUUUUUCAUUUCCACUAUAAAUGUGUAAAUCACUACUACCAAUUAGCAAAUAGUAUUAUAGUUGGAAAAAAUAAUUAAUGAUAAAUAUCUUGAAAUUUAAAAAUAAUAAUUAAAUAAUAUUUUCUUCUCUAAAAGUUCCGCACUUAAAAAGAUACAAAGGGAAUAAUCUCGGUUUUCAAUUCAGGAGUUGAGUUUCACAAUUACCAGUGCCUGCAUUGAAGCCGCUCGUUUCACACUCGCACCCACAUAAACACACAUUAACUUGUUGGUGUUUGAAAAUAAUAUUGUAAAAAAGAUAAAUAAUAUAUCAUAAUAUAUAGUGUUAAUAAAAUAAAUUCAUUCCAAAAAGAUAACAAAAAUAAAAUUUAGUUCUUAAAAGUAUAAAAAAUGAGACAAAUCCAUUAACAUUAGAAAACUCACCUACAUAAACACGUAUGGAAGAAAAUGUUAGUUGACAUUAGUAACAAGAUACUAACAAUAUAUUAGACUUACAACUUUCUGAUUUGUUAUUGUAAAUAUUUAUUAUAAUACAUUAUAAUUAUAAUUAUAUUUAUAAUGUCAACUUAUUAUACAAAAAUCAAGAUUCAAGAAGAGGCAAAAUAAAGGUAAGUUCUCAAAUAACAAAUCAAUUUGUCAAAUUCUAAAUGGAUUAUCCAUAAGUAAAAGAAAACAAAUGAGAGAUCCAAUAACCAGAACUGCAAUACUUUUAUAGCUUCCUCUCUCAGUUAGUGAUCACCAAUAUAUUUAUAAUAAACAUUAAAGAAAAAAGUGAGACUAAUUUGUCCAUAAAAGUAUACUUUGUCACUUUUUUAUUUGACGUCUAUUAUAAUUAUAUAGGUAAUUCAUUAAUUGAGCAGUGAAGCUAUAAAACAUUGUAGUUUUAAUUGUUACACCUCUCGUGCUUGUUUUCUUUUACUUGUAGAUGAUUCAUUUAAGAUUUGACAAACUAAUUUUCUAUUUGAGAACCUAUUCCUAUCUUAUCUUCUUUUGAGUUUUGAUUCAUCUGUGAUAAGUUGAUGUUAUAACUAUAAUUAUAAUUAUAAUAUAUUAUAAUAAAUAUUUGUAAUAUUAAAAUCAAAACCUUCUAAGUCUAAUGUAUUCUUGGUACAUGUAUCUUGUUACUAAUGUUAACUAAUUAGAUUUAUAUAUUUUAUAGAUAUAUUUAUCAAUAAAUUAUAUAAUUGAAGGACAAAAAUAUUAAUAAGUUAUUAAAUUUAGAGAUGUAUUUGUUAUUAACUUUAGCCCAUAUGUCAACAUCAGCAUCAAUUCCGUGACAUUUUUAUUUCUGUGUGUCACGUAAGUAAAUUUCACAACGUUAAUAGAUGAAAGUUAACGGUAAGAUAGAUUUGUCUCACUUUAUAUAUUUUUAUAGACUAUAUUUUAUUUUUUCAUCUUUCAAGGAUAAAUUUAUCAACAUUAUACACUUUUAAAAAUAAAAAUGAUUAUUUAUACUAUAAAAAAAAUAAAAUAUUGUUUAAAAUGUUGAUAUGAUUGCUUUAACUAGAUCACGAGUACAUGUUUGUCACUACAACAUCUAUGGGGACUGGACGAACCAAUUGAAUCUAUGAGAGGUUGGAGAUAAGGUAACUAAAGAAACUUCCUUUUGGAAAUGAGGCAUGAAUGGGGAAAAGAUAAAGCUUGGAUUUCCCCUUCCAAUUAUGCAGCAGGAAGAAUUGGAAGAAAAGAAGUUCUGAGUGUGCAUAAGAUCGAAGUUUAAAAGGCAUUGGUAUAUACUUUUUUGGGUUAGGUUUCGAAUUUCUUCUUAACAUUAUUUUCCUGUGUUUUUUCAAUUCCAUCCUGCAGUUUUCACUUAAGAGCUUCAUAUAUAGUACUUUAAUGUUAAAUUUUAGAGGUUUGAGGCUUAGCUAGCUUACACGUAUAUUCAGAUACAUUAGAAAUCUUAAAAAUUUGAGUGUUAUUCAAUAUACAUGUUUCAAAAUUCUUGAAACAUUAAUUUUUUGUAAAUAAAAAGAAUCCAACCUGCAUCCACCAUCUUUUCUUUUUUAAUUAUCUAACUGAUCUUAUAUCUAAAAAAAAUCCUACCAUAUUAUAGGAAGAAUAAUUAUACCAUUGAUAUUUAGCAUACAGAAUCAUUAUAUCAAACAAUAGGCACUUGGUUGUACCAGUGGGUGCUCAAACUUGGAGGGACCUGGAUUAGGAUUUAGGAACCAUGAUCAGACAUAUAGGAAGGUGCAUUAGAGAGGUAUGAUAUAUACAUAUUUUAGGAAAGAAGCCACUUUGGGGCUAAGAGAACACUCGGUCAAUAUUUGCGUAUAGCACGAGUUCACUGCUGUCGUACUAUGGUACUCAAUCUACUGUUAGAGCAUUUAUAUCUCAUUUCUUCUUCCUGUCAAAACCUUGCAGUGUUGAACAUGACAGAUCCUUAGGAACUCUAGAAUUAAAGGUCACUGGGGUACCAAUACCAUACAUGUCGAGAUGAUAUCAAGUUCCUCGUCAUUAUGUAAAGGAUAAAUGUAAUAUUUUCUUGUUCUUCAAAAUUAAACGUUUAUAUUCAAAUUAGCUAUAUUUAUAAUUUUAUUUUAUAUUAUUUUCGGCUCCCUUUCAUAAGUGGUUCUUUGUUUUUUUUUCCUUAUUAUAUCUAGAUUUAUUAGUUUUUUUUAGAGCAAACUAGUAUAUUUUUUUGUUUGAACCAAAACAGUAUGCUCGUAUUAUUAUACAAGUAAUUGAAAUAUCCGAAGGCUUUAACGAUGAAAUGAAUUGUUUUAUAAAACAUAUAUACUCUUUGGGUUGUUUCUUUUGUCUGAUUACUGUCAUUAAUUGUAAUUCAUCCGUUAUACAUACGAAGGAUAGCAAAAAUAUAAAAUCUGAAAACUGACUUCUAAGUAACCUUAAGACACAACUAAGUUCCAAAAGUAGGGGGAAUAUACAACUAGGUGUGCACUUAGAAAUAGAAUUCAACCACUGCCACUUGUUAUGUAACUGUGCGUGCGAAAAAAAUCAACAAAUUUAAAACACUUGAAUUAUUUAGUACAGCUCAUCAUGAUUAGACACAAUUCUUGUACUGAAAAUUUUAUUUAAUUAAUUUGAUAUCCAUGCAUCCUAUGAGCAAAAUAAUAAUAACAAUAUAAGAGUAACAUAAUUAAAUUAUAAAUUUUGAAUAGUUAGUAAAAUAUUCGUACAUUCUUUCUUCAAAAUAAAGACUUGAAAUUUACAAUUUUUAUGAUGAAUUAGACAUUAAUAUUAAAAUGUUUUCAUUGAUAAACUGUUAACGCAAACUAAAAUAUUAUUAAUUUGAUGUUGUUUUGAUCUUAUGCUUGUUGACAUUGUUAAGUUAUCGUAUUUGAAAUAUUAUCUAUUUGGAUGUAAUGAUUCUAACACUAUUAGUGGAUUUGAGAUGAACAUGCAUUGAUGUUAAAAGAAGAACUUCAACCAAUCUUAAUAUAUAAUUCUUAGUUUUGAUUGUGACACUUGUUUCAGUAUGUUAAUAUAUAAUUUCACAUUGCUUAAAAGUUGAUGUUAUGGAUAAUUUAUAAACAUUAUUUUUUCUUAAUCCACCAAAACAAUUUUUAAGGGUAAAGUCAUGACAGACUAUUGAGCAUCAAAUCAAGUAAUACCUUCUUAAUUUAUCAUGACACAACAAUAACAAAAUUUUAUCUUAUGAGAUGAGAUCGAUUACAUGAAUUACAGAAUACCAUUUAGCACGAUUAAGAAUAAAAGUUUCAAUAAUAUUAAUAAAUUUUAGAUUUCCUUCAACUUCCUUUUUGUCUCUUUCUUCUCAUUUUCACAUGACUAAAAUUAAUGCAAUAUAGUCUUCUAAUUAGCAUCUUUUGUGGUUUUCUUUGUACAUGUCAAAAUCACCUUAAUUAAUAGAUUUUUUUAUUUCUUUUUUGGAUGUCACAUCAAUCUUUUUUUAUAUACAAUUAUUCUAUAUUCUAUCAUUUCUUCCAUCUUAACAUUUUUAUUAUGCUAAGUACCCUCUUUUUUCUCUCAUAUUGUCUCUUUAAAUCCCAUCUUCCACUACCAUAUAAUAUAAAUAGAUAUAUGGUUAUACGAUAAAACUUAUAUUUGAGUUUUGUAAAUACUUUGUAAUCACAAAUAAUCUUGAAUUUAUUUCUCCAUGUAAGUCAUCCCACUUGUACGCAUUCUGUGUGAUUUUUAAUCAUUAAUUUCUCCAUUAUUUUGUAUGAUUGAUCUCAAAUGUUUAAAAACUUAUAUAUAAACAUGUGGUAUGACAUAUUCUCUCAUUUUUUACCCCCAACCCCAAAUAAUCUUGUCUUUUAUUAAAAUUGCAAUGCAUAUAUUUUGUCUUGCUCCUACUUAAGCAAAAAUCCUUUGUUUCCAAAGUCUAUCUCUAGAGUCCAAGCUUACUUUUAAUUGCUUCCUUUGAUUCCUCAAUCAAGACUAUAUCAUCCACAAAAAGCAUGCAAUUAGGGAUAAUAUUCUACAAGUCCUUGUUAAGCGUCCAAGAUUAGAUUAAACACUUAAGAACUUAUAGUUAAGCCUUAAUGCAAUAUUUUUUAUUUUAAUCCUUCAGUUCAUCAAGGGACAGUGAUCACAUCUAAUUAAGAGUUUGGUUGAGAAGUACGUAAAGUUCGAUAAAAAUUAUUUUCACUAAGGAUCGAAUUCAAGUAAUACACAAACGAUUCAAUCUUAAUUUCAAUACAUUAACAACUUGUGUUCAAUCACUUGAUUUCCUUAAUAUAAUCAUAACCCAAUAAAAUAAAAAACUUAGUUUCACGUCUUAAAGUUCUCAAACUAAUAAUUACUCAUUCAUACAAGUCUUGUAUAACAUAAGUCAUGUGCACAUGUUUUUCUCUCCAAAGUCUUCUAUUCUAUUGCUCUUCUCUUAGUACAGUUUUUUCUAGGUCAAUUAAAACCUAGCUAUAAGCAUGAUACAUGAUGUUAAAAAUCUUGACAAGUUUAGCUCUUUUUUGGGGAUGUAUUAUAAUUACAAUCUUAAUUGUUUGGUUAAAUUUGUUUUGUAGUGUUUGGCAUACGGUUUAAAUAGGAUAGAAUGUUUUUAUACUUUUAUUUUAUCGUGAUUUCAUUCAGCUCGUCCAAAUAAACUUAUUUUUUCCAUAAUUUUUUUUAUAAUAUAUUAAUCAUUGUGUGUCGUUGUUUAUUUUUAAAAGGCAAACACUGUAUACUCGUCUAUCCUCAUUUUCUAUUUUUUGAAAUUGAAUUUACUGCAUAUGCAUUUAAUAUGAUUUGUUUUUAUCAAUGUAACUAAUGAGAGAGGUUGAGAAUUGAAAUAAAAUAGUGAGAUAUUUUGCAAUAAAAUUUAAAAGGUGAAAUAGUUUUUAAAAUGUUUAGACCAAAUAUAUGAGAGUCAUGAGAGAGUGAGGGAGUUACGCAUGUAGGUAAGAUUGAAAGAAUGUAAUAGUUACUAUUGUUGUGUUUGUGAAUUGUCUUUUAUUAUUAUUAUUUUAGUCCUAAGCACGUGAUAUUUUAGUAAGAUUUAAUUAAUACAGAACAUUAAAAGUAAAAUAUUAUAGAACUAAAUGCAUAAGCUAUGAAAUAGUUCAUAUUUAAUAUUAUUAAUAUAACACGUGGGGCCUUUUUGUAGUUAAACGUCAAUUCAAUGACGACUGAUAUAACAAUAAACCUUUGUUGAUACUUGUGUAAGUUCUGGCUUUUGAAUGUCAUUCCAUUAUUUAUAUUUUUUAUUAUAAAAUAAUGUAGAAUGAAUCGUUACAACCUCGUUUUUUUUAAUAAAUAGGUAUUUAGUUUCAAACUAUGAUAAAUUCCACUUUACAUUUGCAUCCUAAGGAAAACAAAACCCAUUAAACAAGAAAGAUCAGACCGUAGAGAAUGUCUCGGAGUUGGAUUUUGGGAGUAAAAAAGACAUUCUUAUUUUUAAUAAAUAUUCUCCAUUUUAAUAUUUAUUAAAUAAAAGAAAUAAAAUAAGAAACUAGAAUAAAUUUAACAUCCCAAUUUUUAUUUAAAAAUUUGAGACAUUAUAAAAAUGGAACAAUUUGCCUUUUAUUCUCCUUUCCCUCUAAAUUAUACUCUCAAACAUAUCACACUAUCUUAAAUUCAAUGUCUUGUUAUAAAUGUCGAAACGAAGGAUUGGUAUUGAGAAAUGCUUGUAGCCCUCCGUCAACGCCAAGAUAACGUACACAAACUAGGAGUCAGUAUUCAGAAAUCAGAACCGUUGCAUCCCUAUUAAUGUUGGGACUUAAAACCCCUGAUCUUAGAUGUGAUUUUAAUCUUUGAAGCGCUAACAAGAGUUUUAAAGAAUUUUAUAUUUUAUUUUUGGUAUAUAAAGUUUAAGAGAGAAAAGUCAGUUCAAGGCAUAAGUCAUAAGACAACUUUUCACGAUUCAGAGUGUAUGUAGUACGUAAUAUAUGUAUAGUACUAAAUGAUUGUAUUUAUAGGAAUCAAAACAAACACUUCAAUUUUUUUUUUCUUUUCCAGUUAAACCAACCUGAUUCGUUAGUGGUUUUGACCGUUAAUUUAUAAGGGUUUAGAAUUUAGAAGCAUGUAUACAUAGACUAGGAUUUAAUUCCCUUAAACCAAUGAAAUAUAUAGUGAGAAAGUAAGGAGUUAAAUUAACUUCAAAUAGGAAAUGCACAGAAAAAAGAUGGGAUGUGAAAAGUGAAAACUGAGGCGCUAUCGCUUGCAGGAUGACCAAGACAGCAAGGAACCCUACAUUAGCAGAACAAGAGAAAACAUGCACCUAACAAAACAAGCCUGUACCAAAGUAUCGAAUCUAUAUUAAUGGACCAGUUGUAAUUUAUAUAUUGGUGUAACCCUUGAAUUACUUUCAUUUUCAUAAUUAGGGCCUGCGAAAUUGUCGUGCCCUACAUUGGAGAUGAGAUCAAAAUAUGGAAUUUUCCAAAUGGCUAUCCUGUCAAAAUGAUGAUCAUGAGCAUUCUGUACGCUUGCGUAUGAUCAUGAACAUCAUCAAAUCUGUUUCUUUUUUCCUAAAUCCAGCUCAUUUAGCUUUAGGUUAAAAAAGACAUUAUAGAAUCAAUUUAAGUGACCCGUUAACUCAACCACUGGAAAGCUUGGUUUGUUAACCCUUUAAGCUGCCACAAUUAAAGAUGUAGAAUAGUGACAAGGUUCAAAACACAAUAAGGAAAGAUAUCUAUGUCUCUUCUAACAAUAUUGAGCAUGUAUAUAUACAAUACCAGUUUGUAGGAAGAGAUAGAAUUAAAAUUACACUGGAUUUCCACCCUCCUGGGCGCAUAGUUCAAGUGAUUGUGAUAGGUAUGGAAUUUUUAUAGAUGUCAUAAGUUCAAGUUGUGGCAACAACUCUUUGAUACAUAAAAAUAAUAAUUGCACAGGGUUAUCAAAAGUAAAAAAAAAAAAAAAAACUGUAAAGAUCAUCAGGUCAUCAAUUAUUACACCAUCAGAUUUCUCAGAAAUUAUGUUGGCAAAUAUAUUAAACAGUAAUGCUCUAGUCAGAACAUCAGUUACCUGCUGAUCCAUGCAUGUUUCCAUGUCUAGUACAAUAAACCUAACAUAAAGAGGAGGCAUAAAAAUGGAAAGGAAAACAGAAACUCUAUAGAGUAGAAGGUCAACUUCUGUUGUAAUAUAGAUUGUAUACAUAGCAAUAACAAUUUGAGUGCAUGAAUCCCUAAGCCCUAAGCAUCAUCCAUUUUGUUCUUGCUCAGAAACUUGCAAAUAUAGUUACCAAAAUCUGGAAUGCCUUAUCAAAACAUCUUGCUGGUCCAAUGGAUUGUAGCCAUAUCUAUGACCUCUGAAAAGCGAUCAAAAGAUCCAUCCCUUUGAAUUGAAGAAACUUGGCAGUGAAAUAAUAUGGAUACAGUUAUACAUAAUCAUCAGAAAGCUAAAAUUUCAAGCAUGCAUGAAUUUUUAACAGGCUAAAAGGAAUCAAUGCUUGGCAUGCUAACAUCGGAACAUAAUUAACAGUUAUCCCAGUGUUUGUUGCCCAUAAUUUUGCCUUAAGAUGUAAAGGGUUAAAAUUUUCAAUAGCUAUAUAAAUACAAAAAAAAAAUUCAAUAGUUAAUAUUCUUCACUAUAUGUUCUGUGGUUAUAAAAUUACCAUAUUUAUGAUUAUUCUUCACACCAAACCCUCGGUUAUAAUUCAUACCAAUAUUUAUGAUUAUUGAGUUAAUUGCUUAAGAAAAACUACGAAAGUAAGAAGGUUUUAACUUAUAAUUGCUACCGAGAAACUAUUUUCUGAUACAUCACAGAGCUUGUGUGAAAUACGUUGUUGACUUCUAUUGAUCGGUGCUUGAAUUCGCAGAGAAUGUAAAUUAGAAAAAUCCCCAACAUUUACAAGGAUAACUGCAGUUUUAGCACAAAAAAAAAAAAAAAAACAAGGUUAACUGCAGACAAAAGCUGAAUUUUUUAUCCUGAUCCUUGUAAACCUUGCACCAAAAGUACAUCAGUGCUUUUCACCAUUGAAGACUAACCAGUUACAUUAAUAAAAAACUAAAAGCAUGAAUAAAGCUGCUAGCGAGUGACUUCAUGACUUUUGAUAAUACUUGUUAAAUCAAACUUUAAAUAUUGGACAGAUAUAAUACACGCAGGACGCAGCAAACCUUUAUGAGAACUUUCACAUGCCAUUGGCUGAUUAUCAGCAAGAAUCAGUACAAACAUUGUAAAAUGGGAAUAUAGGGCAGAAAAAAGUUUAUGAUAGAGAGAAGAAACACAGAACUAUGAGAGAUGAUGAUUACAACGCAAAGCACACUUGAGAAUUUCGUUCUGAUCAGAUUUUACCGAAAACUAGCACAUUUUAGUGUCGACUCUGAUUGAUGCACUGGUCCCAAGAAUUUUCCAAAGAUUUUGAAUGUAGCUCUACAAAUCUGGACGCAGAGAAAAUCACUAAAACAUCAACACAAGUUGAAAACCUGAGAAGCAGUGAUUUAAUUAAAGAAGAAGAAAUUAAAAAAAUUAAAACUUACCACGGGUUCAUGAAACACGUAGAUAGAUUCAUGGUGCUUAUUCCACAAUAGUUAACGGCCCCAUUAGUACUCUCCCAGUUUGGAGUAGUGGAAUAGGGUAAUAGGGGGAACUCAUUGUUGUUGAAACUUGCUUCCCUAGGGAUCACAAGGUUUGGUUGAGAUAACGGCUUCAUGUUCCUUUUUAUCAUAAUAGAUUCUUCAAUGACGUUAAAGCCAUGAUCUCUUGGAGCUUCAUUAUCAUCAACGAAAUAAGGGUUAUAAUAAGGCUGAACCCAUCUUGCACGAGGUUCUUCAGGUUCAGGCUGAAUGGAAGACCACAAUUGGUGCAGCAUUUGAGUAGUGUUUGUUGUUGCAGGGCACCUUUCAUCAAAGUCUUUCUGCUGCUGCACCCUUAUACUGCUACACUUCUUGAAACAAGUCCUUUCUCUUGCCCUUGCCCUUGCCCUUUCCCUUGACUCUUUUUUGUUCUGAAUACAAGCAUCACCCCUCUGUGCCCAUUUCAGCUUCCUCCCUUUAGAACCAUCACCAACACCACCACCCACCAUUGAUUUGUUGUUGUUGAAGUUGUUAUUUGAAUCCCCAGAAGGGUCGCGUGAAGACUUGUCACCCCCAGUACUAACACUACCGCUAUGCUUACUUCGGGCUAGUUCUUUGAUUGCAUUCUCAGACUUUGUGAAGAGCCACUCAAGGGUGUUACUUGGUUUGUCAAACUCUAACAUGUCCUGAAGAUCAAAGAACUUCCGGGCUAUUUCGCUUGAUAAUCUCACCCUCCGGUCCCUCAAACCCUGAGAUGUGUGAAUCUUACUGUGCCUGUCUUUUUUGGCUGUGGCUGCUGCAGGUUUCUGAUGGGUGAGGAAAUUGGAAAUGCUGCUACCAUAGUGGGAACCAUAGUUAGUGUUUGCUGCUGCAUCGUGUUGAUUAUCAAGCAUGGCAGUGCAGUGAUGAUCAGCAACUGCAAAAUUGGCAACGGUUUCUUCAGGGAAUGGAGGAGGAUCAUGUGUGAGGGGAACAACAAGAGGGUCCUCAACCAGAAGAGUGUGGCUUGCAAAAUCAUUUUCAGAUUCAAUGAGAAAAGGAAGGAUUGGGUAAGUAGACAAAGGGAAGUUAGGGAAAAAGUUGGAGUCAUAUGUGGAAGAGAACAUCUGCAGAUUGGAAACCAAAUUUCAGUGUGGUGAAAACCCUAGCUAUUAUGCAGUGAGUAAAAAGAUCACAAUUAUAACACAGAGGUAGCUUCUCUGCUCCUACUUAACGGUCCAAGUACAGUCCUACUACUCUUAUAUAAUCAUUUUCUGAGAUUCCCCAUCUCUAUCUUUGAAAGGAGACUACUAGCUGCUAAGUACUAAGUACCAUUAAAGAAUUAUUAUUGUUAUUAUUAUUUUUUGUUUUUUUUAAGUAUAUUUUUAAAAAAAGAAAAAGAGAAGUAUGUAUGUUGUUGAGGAAAGUGAGGACAACAGAAAGGGAGAUUUAGUUUAGGCCAAUGAAGUACUUAGAUCAUAAUUUCAUUUAUUUUGUGAAUACAACUACAAUAUUACCAAUCUGGGUUAGGGCAGAGGCAGAAAAUCUAGCUCAAGUAUCAGGACAGACACCGAUCAAAAGGACACAAAUAAUUUUUUGGUUUGUACCAUAUUCAAAAUAUUACUAGCAUAUUCAAGGCCAUCAACUUCGAGAAGAAUGUUAUACAAAAAUUAAGUGACAUACAUCAACAUAAGUACAUAUACUUCACGGCGAAUUUAUUAAUUAUGGUAAAGACGAAUUAAAUUACAUAAAAAGAAUGCCAAAGGAAGUUAGAAAGAGAAGAGUGGUACAUAUGGAAAAAAAUUGGGAAAAAAACAAGUGCUUACUAAGGGAUAGUUUGAUUUAGCUUUUAAUUUAGAAGGUUUAUUAAUUGAACUUUUUAAGGGUAGUUAUACAAUUGAAAAAGAAAACAGCCCUAACUUUGUGGAUCUAGUUUUGAUGGGUUUUAUCCGAAAGGUAAUGAACUUUUGAAGUUGAGCCGUACAGGAAAUGUAAAAGGUAGGUGAGAAGCUGUAAUAGCUUCUCAGCUGUUUGUUCUGUAAAAACUAAACCGCAAAUAUACAAACUCGUCAGGAAAAAUAAAAUUACAUUUUUUCAUUUUCUGAAAAGCUGAAAGUAGUACAAAUUGACUAAAAACUUGGUGUUCUUUUUUAAUGCGCCCACAUUACUUCAUUUCAAUCCCGAAAAAAGCUCAUUCAUCUCUGACAGCGAUUGCAGCUUCCCUGGGAUACAUAUGUGUAUGUGUACUCGUUAUAGUAUUUAAGUACAUGAAUACGUAGGUGCUUAAAAAAACAUUUAGUUAUUUACAUGCAUAUUAUAAUUCUAUCUGUCACUUUAAUUAAUUCGUCAAAAAUUGAUUUCAUUCCCUAGACUUUUUAACGGUUAAUCUUGUACAAUAUUUUGCUUUUAAUAAGGAAAAAUGAAUGAUAUAAGUAAAAAAUAAUGCGCAAAUUGAAUAUUUUACCACAAAACAAUUGUUAAGCCAGUACUAUUGAUAUGUAACCUUGUUUGUCAAAUUAAGAAUAGAAAUUAUUUUUUUAAAAUACAAUAUAUAUAUAUAUAUAUAUAUAUAUAUAUAUAUAUAUAUAUAUAUAUAUGUAUGUGUGUGUGUGUGUGUAUAAUUACUUUGAGAUUUUCUAAUUCCAGCCGCAUGGUAUAGUUUCAAAAAUAUGGUGCCAAGUAGAUGCAGUGGUAGUGGCAGCUAGUAUUCAGUUUCAGAAUGCCUUAAAUUUGAAGUCUCACAAGAAGAUUGAAAAUAAAUCUAUUUCAUGGACUCACCCUCCAAUUGGGAGCUACAAACUAAAUUGUGAUGGGGUAGUCAAUGGUGACUUCACUACCAAAAAAUAGCAUUUUUCCGACAGCAAAAAUCCCGGAGUUUUCAGGAAUUCCUUGGGUCAUGUUAUUUUCUCCUUUUCUGCUAUUGAACUUUGUUCUGUUGUCAUGGCUGAAUUGUGAGCCAUUAAAAUUGGUGUGCAGAUUGCUUGGAGUCGUGGUUUCCAACAGUUUCAAGUAGAAUCAGACUCGCAAGUAGUAGCCAUUACAUUGCUCACUAGUGGAUGUCCUACUUACCAUCCAUGCCUUAGUUUAAGUCAAGAGAUACUGAAGUUCCGGGAGCUUGGAGGUAGCAUUCUGUGGCAUCAUGCCUUAAGAGAAGGAAAUCAAGUGGCUUAUUAUUUAGCUAAGUUUGGUUUGUCCUAAGAUAUAUAGACAGCUACAAAAUUUUGAGAUUGUUCCUCAAUUUUUAUUAACUGUAGUUUUAGCAGAUGUAUCAUCUAUCAUGUUUCCUCGUGAUUUUUAAUGUAUCGUUCUAGGGGAUUUCCCCUUCCAUUUACCAAAAAAAAGUUGGACUAUUAGAUAUUUUAUGCAUGAUAGGAGGUUUUGCCUAAACAAGGCAUUGCCAAUGGAUGCUUUGGGGCCAAACAUAGAUGCAUGUGAAAUUGUUGUAUCGAUAAAUAAGCAUUAUUUACUCAAGAGUUCGCAUUGGUUGGAUGAAAAUGAGAGCACGAAAGACUAUGUCAAUUUAAUUUGUUGACGCACAAUAUCCACGUUGUAUAUUGCUAAAUUGUAAAAUUACAAUUUAGUAUAAUUUAUGACAUAUAUUUCAAAAUAAUUAACAUCAAUAUAAGUAUAACAUUGUGUUAUACUAAAAUAUUAUUCAAAAAAGAAUACAGAAAAUUAAACCAAGUUAGAUAACCCAAAGGUAUAACUGGAACUCAUUUUUUAAAAAUAUAUAACAUUUAAUUACUAAAACUUAAAUUCAUCAAAUUAGAAUUAGACAGGAAAAAUUUACCGAGACUAAUAAGAAAAUUAAUUAAUUUAGUUAAUAAUAUUUAAUUUAUCCUCAAUUUAUGUUUUUUUUUAAAUUAUCCAUAACAUUAACGAGACAUACGUUUAUUCUUUAUUCAAAUAUUUUUAUUAGUUUAAAUUCUUUUAAUUAAUUAUCUCUUCAUUAAUAUAUCUAUACAUAUUGCUUUAUUUUAUAUUGGUUAUGCUUGUCAUUCUAAACCAAAUUCUUUCUUGGUCGUUACAUUGAAGGUGCAAGUCCAGUAAGUUGGAGUAAUUGGCUUUACCUAUAGAAGGGGUUAAACAGGAGACUUUUUAUGAAAAGGACCAAAGGAAAUAUAAAUUAUGAACACUAAAACCACAGCUAUUCAAGCCUUGGAAUACAAUUGAAAAUAUGUAGAUUAAAUAUGAUAAGAAUCAACGUUAACUUAUUUAUAUAAUUAAUAUAAGCGCCGAUUAAAAAAAAUUAUACAAUGUAAGUUUAUUUUUUAUGUCUAAUAUGACAUUCAUAAUAUACUAUUAAUUUAGAAGAUUAUUUUACUUUAACGCCUCUAAAUAGGGUAUAAAAUUUUCUUUCAAUAAGAUUAUAGGCUUGAUUCUCUAUUUAGGUCAAAUGCUUAAUAUAUAAAAAAGAUAAAUUAACAUAAUAAUUUUAAUACAUUAUAAAAAUUUAAUAAACUAAUUAUAUUAACAAAAUAUUAUUAUUUAUAAUUACUUAAUUAAAUUUACCAGUCUAUUAAACUUAAAAUACUUUUUGAAUAGUGAAUUCGGUGUAAAUUAGUGAUGGACAACUUCAACUCGUGCAACUUCAAUAAUAAUGAAUUUGGUACUUUGCCGAAAAAUUAUAGAUUGAACAUUCAGUUUAUUUUAGUGUUAAGUUUGCCCAUGGACAUGAUUAAGUGAGACGCUCAUACUCUAGCUAAGAUAUCUAGAUUGUUUGUUAGUGCACAAGUUUUUAAUUCAGUUCCACAAUGUAUUAAGUAUGUUCUUAUGGUUGAAAUAAUGAGAUGCUUUCCUUAAAAAAAAAAAGAUUUUUUGAAUGUCUAAAGUCCUAAAGACUAAUUUUUUUUAAUCAAAUAGGUUUUUAAAAAAAUCUUAAUUAGCCUAGUUUAUUAAGUAUAAAAAAAAGUCUAAGCUAAAACUUGGCUUGAUGUAGGUUAGACCAAUGAUCAUUGUCAAAAGGUCUGACUUAUUUUCACUUCUAAUUUCAUGUCAUUACCAAUCUUUAGAAUUUUGAAAAUCAAAUCAAACUAAUUGGUUGAACCUGUCAACUGUUAGAUUUGAAUAAAUUACAGAAAUGGCUUAGAGAAAAAUUGGUCAAAACUGAUAAAUAUCAAUAAAUAAAAAAAUUGUUUCGCAGCAAGUAAAAAAAAAAGUUUAGUAUAACAUUAUUUUGAUUUUUAAAAAAAUAAUCUAAAGUAUUUAUCAUAAAUUUUUAUUUUAGAUGUUAACCCGUUAUUGUUAAUAAAUGUUGUUAUGUGUUGUUGAAACUGAUAUAUUUUAUUUGAAUUUGUAUGUACAUUUAAUUUUAAAAUUUAAAACUCAAUAAAAAUAUAAUUUACUUUUAUUCUUUUAGUAUUAUAAAGUUAUAGCAUUACGUUUCUUUGAUAUUAUUGUGUGUUUUUAGUUAUUGUUGUUUUUAUUAACCAUAAUUGAAUCAUUGUUAAGUUUUAAAUCAGUACUAUAAUGAGUUCAAUGACUAUUCUGAUUUUAAAAACACUGCUAAUAACUCAAAUUUUAUGCUAUAUCUUAAAGUAUAAACAAAACAUUCUAUAAUUACUGGUUUUCAAACUACAGUAGCUCUCUGUUUGCAAACACUGCUAAUAAUAAUCAUAGUUCAAUUCAAUUGAUCAUAAAUUCAACUGUUACUUCUCUAUCUGUUUUUAUUUUUUAAGAAGAAGCAGCGCGCCAAAUAAACCAUGCAAUAUACUAGGACCACUAACCACUUUGCCCGGAAUUUGUACAGAAUCUAAAUUGAUUAUAAUGGCUGUUUAAUAAAAUAUUGCGAGGAGAUGUAAAAAAAAAUUACUCUUUUAAGAUUUUGCCAAGUUAUCUAAAAAAAGGGAAAUGGAUGGACCAUGCAUGUUGGGUGAUACAAACCUCACAAUAAGAGAUAUGCACCCUACUGUCUCAUAGUGGACCGGCUAGUUAACAUAGCAAUAAUUGCAUUGAUAGCUAAGCAACAGUUGGCAUGCAUCCAAUCCAUCAACCUAGAAACUAAACAUUUGAUCUUUGAUGUGCGUGUUCACUACACUGAAUACUAAUAGAUAGAUAGAUAUCUUUCUCAUCUUUCAUUGAGAAUAUAAAAUUGUGAUAUACAUCUGAAUCCGAAGUAGAAUUGGUAAAUUCAUUGGGUCACCCGAUCUGGUUCAGUCUGGAUUUUUUUGGGUCAGGUUAGGUUAUCCUGUCUUGAAUUUCUUGUAUGUUACAAAUUUGAUGAUCUAAACUAGCUUUUAUGCUAAGCUGGUAUGUCAAUAUAUAAAUUAAAUACGUUUUAAGUAAAAAUAAAUAAAAUUAAACUUAAACAUGUUUGAUUUGUGGCACCAUAAGGAAGUCUUGCUUACAAUUAAAAGAAUUGCGCCAUAUUUUUCCAGUAAAAUACUCACAAUGAGGAGUAUAUUACAUGUUUUUCCCCAUUAAUACUUAUAGAAAUAUAAUAAUCUAUUUUUUCAUUUCUUCUCACCUCCCCUUAUUAUCUGAGUAAGGCAACUUGCUUUUAUUCUUUCGAUCAAAUAAAAAUAAGAGAACUUUUCUCUUACAAAUCGUAAUAUUAAUGUGUAGUGUUUUGAUUCUCCUAAUUAACACAAUCUUAGAUUCUUCUUCUUUAACUCGUCUCUUUUUAGGUCUUAUCAACACAAUCGCAGAGUCUUUUGAUUUAUGUUUUCAAUUCCUUUUUCAAAUAUUUCCGCUCAUCAAUAGCUUGAUUAGAAGAAAGUAGUAAUUAUUUUUUAGAGCUCUUCAUCAAAAUUAUAAAAAGAAAAGUAUUUUUAUACUUAAUUACUUAAUUAAUUAGCAAACCAUGCUUAAUAUAAAAUGCAUUAAAUGAUGAGCUAAACAAUUGCACGUGAUGUCAUUCACGCACCUGUCUUUUCAAUUUUUUUGGCUACAUAUUAUCGGAUUCUGCAACCUUUUCAAAAUGACUGGUAACACCUCUUGACGUCCUCCAAUUCACGUGCAAUUUUAUAAGUAAUGUUUGAAAAAAAAAAAGAGUGAAUUAUAUAAUAUUAAAAGUGAAAUUUUAUUAAUAUAAUAUUAGAGGAGAUAAUAAAUAAAUAACAAUUUUAUAAAAAUAUUGAAAGUAGGAAAUAAAAAAUUAUAAAACAUUGUACGUCAUAAGGAAUAAAUUCAAACGCUUCUUCAUCAUUUAAAAAAAAAUAUUUAUAAGCCAUAAAAAUAAAUUCAUUUACUAUAUACUUUUAUUUUAAUUACUUUGAUAAUUUUACAAACUAACCAAAAUAAACUAUAAUUUAAAUGAAAAGAAAUGCCAAAAAUACUAUUGUAUCUUGUUCUUAAUUGCUCAGUGCUAGUAGCUUCAUGUUUACUAUUCUGACAAAAAGAUCAAACGUGCAAGUAAAACGAUAUGAGUAUUAAAGUCGUAGAAUAUUGACAUGAUUUGUUAUCUAAAACUUAUAGAAAUUGAUGAUUAAAGUGAUUGACAUGUAAUGAAAAGUAGAAGAUUAUACUAGAAAUGCAAUGAAAUGGCAGAAUAUCAUCAAGUAAAUUGUAUUUAAGAAAUUUAUCAAAUAACCAGUGAACGUACGAAAUUGAGGUGAAAUUAAUAAUGAGUGAAACAUUGUUGGAAUCGGAUUUCGUAGGAACAACCUCUACACAUGUAAUCAAAAUCUUAGAUCACAAUUCUACUUCAACGAAAUUUAUUAAUUAAGUUGAAACUCGAUCUAAGCACAAGGAAUGCGCGAGCUAUUGCAGAGUGCGUGCAAAUACAACAGCGUUCCAGCUUGUAAACAAGGCCAAAACAAGAUUCGGCCAUGGAAGAGCUUUAGACAGAACUCCACACCCAAAACCGUCUCAAACGAACUUAUGAAUCGAUCGAAUGCAUCUUAACCUUGUGCAUUGUCCAAUUAUACACGAGUUUCUCCAACUAAAAUUGUUAUUUCAGCUUUAGCAUCUAGGGAAGAUAAAAUAAACCCGAAUCUUAUGAAUAUACUAAAAAAUAUGAUUACUUAUUUAUUGGGACUGAGGAUGGAGGCGCGGAUGGAUACGUACGGAUAUUAUAAUACAUUCUACCCACGCAUAUAUAUAGCAUAUAUAUAUCAUAUAUGAUAAAUAUUAAUGUAUUAAAAUAUGUUAUUUAAGUUAAUAAUUUAUAUUAUAAAUAUAUUUUUUAUAUAAAAAUUAUAUUUUCCUAUUUUAUAACUAACAAUAGUGGUGUAACAUAAAAUAGUGAAUUUUAAUCCAACAUAAUUUAUAUUAAGUUUGUUUUAUAUUUUAUUUAGGAAUAUUGAAUUAUUAUUAUUAUUAUUAUUAUAUAUAUAAAUUUAUGAAUUUGUUGACAAAAAAUUUUUUUAGAUUGACUUUAAAUUGUAAAUCAUAUUUUAUGUUGUUUGACACUUCAAUUAGUAGUGUAGAUUUAUAUUUAUUUAAUGACUUAUCUUUGUAAUAUUAGAUGAUUAUAUUUGUAAUAUUUAAUGAUGACUUAAAUUUUGAUAAAUUAAUGUUAUGUUUAUUUGUUUUUAAUACUAUCUUGAGUCUUAUAUAUAAGAAAAAAUAUAAUAUUUUAUCAUCAAUUUUAGUUAAUAGAAAGAUAAAAAUUACUUUAUUGUUAGAUUUUAUGUUUGGCCCUAAUUAAUAAUGAGGUCUAUCAAUGAUAUACACUCAUUUUUUCAAAAAGAUGAGUGUACUCAUUGAGCUAUCAACAAAAUAUAUAUUCAUUGUUUAAAAAAUUAUUUUUGAAAAAUAAUCUUCUCAUAUAUAUAUAGUACUGUGUUAAUACUUUUAAUAUUAUGUUUGAAUUACUUAAAAGUAAAUUUUCAAUUUACUUAUAGUAAUUUUUCUAAUUAAUAUAUUUUUUUAUUGAUUUAUUAAUUAACUUUAUACAUAAAUAAAGUGUGAAUCACGUAUACGAAUAUGAGUAUAUAGAUAUCAAACAAAUAUAAAAAUAAGAAUAAAAUUAUCAUCUACGUAAGUAUUGGAUUGAAUAUAAGUAUUUUCUUAAAAUACGAAUAUGAAGAUGAAUACUAUAAAAUCUUACUCGAAUCGAUUCUCAUCCCUAAUCAGCUUUCACUUAAGUGAAGAUAAACUCUCACUUAAGCCGCACUGCAUCUGUUGAGCUCUGGGAAAGAUCUCGCUUAAGUGAAUUUGAGUGUCAAUUGAAGUUGCUCUCUGAAAUAGAUUUGGCUUAAGUGAUAAGUGGUCUCGCUUUGAGCAACGUUUUAAGAUCUUUGGAACAUGUCUCUCUUAAGCGAGGUUGAUACUCACAUAAGUGAGUCUUGUCCUUCAAAAGCAUUAUUUUGCUUCACUUGAAUCUUCAUUCCUUUAAUCAAAAAGCAACAAAAAUCAAUCAAAAUGCAUUUGGGUGUUAAAUCAAACUAAACACUAAUUAUUUACAAUUUUACUCACAAAUAGGGAGAAUUAAAACUCUAAAUCAAAAAGAAAUUAAAAUAAUUGCUUACAAAAAUAAAGUGUAAAAAACAAUUAUAUAUCACUUCGAAAUCUACUUCCAUAUUUCUCUAAAUGCUCAGAGGGCGACUUUAAUUCGCUUGAAAUUAUAUUCAACAUUAUAGAUUAUAUAAGAACUUAUAAUUAAGAAGCAUGACGUCGUAUAAACUAUAAAGUGUUGAAUGUGGUAUGCUCGAGGUCAAUGUCGUUUUAGGUUUCUAUUUACUACCUCCUUUCAUGUAAAGAAUACAAUUAUUUUUGGUUUAAAUCCACUCCUGGUCUCUAAAAUUUUAUAGUUGUAUAAUUUUAAUCUCUAAAAAAAUAUAACACAUUUGGUCCUUAAUGUGUUUAAAAUUUAACAAUUUAAUUUGGUUUAUUAUUUUUUUAUAAGAAAUAUAGUUAUUGUAUUUCAUCAAGGAUAACAAAUAAACAUGAAAAGGAAUAUUAUCAUCAUAAUCAUGAGAAUUGAGAGCCAACAUUGUAUCUUGAUGUCCUAGCUAGCUUAGGAGCCACAAAAUUAAUUUGUUUCUUACAAAAUUUCACCCUAGAGUUAUCUAAGUUGGAUAAGAGCUGUUUACAAUUGACUCGAAUAAUAUAAUUUAAUGUUAUUGUGCAGUUAAUAUUUUAACAAAAAAUGGUGACAUAACAUGCUAAUAAUAAUGUGGCAUUAACAUGAUUACAUGACUAAUGUGUAGGAAUGCAAUACAUAUUCUUGAUUUCUUGCACAACAAGAGAUAUCUUGUACAAAGUAAUAUGAUACAACCUAUUUAAUUAUGAGAACUAUGUUUGUGUUUGUGUGCUUUUUUUCUUUUCUUUAUUUGGCAUUGUUAUGUAUACUAUAUAUGUCUUAUAUAUUGCCUUUUUUGUACAACUUUACUACAAGUCUUCUUUUUAGCUCUUUUUUAUUAUUUAUUUUGGUUUGAUUUUGGUAACACGAGAGUUACGUACAAUAAUUUGGUAGAAAAUUAUUAACGAUGAGUUAUUUUAAGAAUUUAUCUUUUCACUUUUUUUCAAAAACUAUACAAAUGGUAAAAAACUUUUAAAUAGAAUUUAAAAUAACAAGUAGUUUAUUAUGAACACUUUUUUUAAUUCGAAAUAAACCUCCCCAAAUUUUUUAUAGUUUUUAAAAAACAAUUCGUAUACUUUAAUUUCUAAGAUAAUAAAAUAUAGCUUUUAAUACAGAUAUAUGAUUUAAAUACACAUACACAUUUUGACUAUGUUUAAUAUUUUAUAACCAAUUCCAUUAAAAUAAAUUAUUUUGUCAAACUCUAAAUUAAACUAGUAAUUAAUUAUUUUGUAUGGAAAUUUUAGAUUUUUUUUCUACAUACAAUAACAAAAGUCUUUUUUUAUUACAUACAAUAACAAAAGUCUUGACUGCUUUAACUUUUAACAUUGCAGCAGAACAUAUUCAAGUAGAGUUUGGACGACGACAAAAUUUUUUGGCUUUUAAGAAACUUACUCCACUGGGGCGUUGAAAACCUAACACAAACAGUCUAUUUUUUUUUAAGAAAAAAAUAUAUAUAAAUUUUUAAACUAUCCUUUAAUUAUAAUUUAUUAUAUGCAAUAAAUUUAUUAAUUUUUUAAAAAAAUUAAAUAAUAAAUUAUAAUUAAAUAACGGUAUAAAAAUAUAUAAGUAUUAAUUUUAUUUUAUUUUUUAUAAUCGCAUGUCUUGUACUGGUGUUCAACUUUUAAAAUUUUUCUUUCUGAAAUACAAUAACAGAAGUGACUCCUGGGUUGGCCGAGAAACUGUAUAUUACCAAACAAUAACAUAGAGACAAUGUCAUAAAAGAUGCACUAACGAAAAGAGAGUGUUAAUUGACAACUUUUUACUGUCGCAAGAAGUUGAUACAUAUUUAUGACUUUUAGCACUUUUUCUUAGGCACUAGUUUUUUUUUUUAACUUAAUUUUAUUCUAUAAGCACUUAAAAUCGCCACAAAUAUUCUAGAUAUAUGUUUUUCUAUAUGCAAUUUUUUACACUCAACGCUUGGUCUCCACCCUCACUUUCAGAUUUGGAGUCUCCAUAUUUGUUGCUUUUUACCAAGAAAACUCACAUUUGUUGCAUUCUCAAUCUUGUUUGACAUCUUAAAAAAAAUAUUGUUUUUGACAACCCUCAAUAAUAUGUGAUAUUUGAAAUAUAUAUAUAUAUAUAUAUAUAUAUAUAUAUAUAUAUAUAUAUAUAUAUAUAUAUAUAUAUAUAUAUAUAUAUAUAUAUAUAUAUAUAUAUAUAUAUAUAUAUAUAUAUAUANNNNNNNNNNNNNNNNNNNNNNNNNNNNNNNNNNNNNNNNNNNNNNNNNNNNNNNNNNNNNNNNNNNNNNNNNNNNNNNNNNNNNNNNNNNNNNNNNNNNCAACUAUUAUCGCAUGAUGAUGUACGUUAAGUCAUCAUCAUCUUUAACUUUAUAUAUUGUUAAAAGUAGAAAAAAUAGGUGAUGCAUUAUAAAAUAAUUUUAUAACAUCAUUUAAUUAUAAAUUAUUUAUAAUAAAUAUUUGAGUUUUUAUAGUAAUUACCUAAACAAUUAUAUCAAGACUAAUGCCUGAUUAGUUGACAUGACGAAAUUAAACUCAUAAAAGUAAAGAUGUUUAUGUGGAAAACUCUUAUACAAUUGAGCGGACUUUUUUCCAUGGUAGUUCAGUUUUCUUCUAUUCAAUUUAUUUUUUUGGUUUCCGCUCAGAAUAAGAAUAAUUUGAUAAAUUCAUUUUUAGGCAAUUAAGAAUAUUUAUUUGACUAACUUUUUAAUUGAAAUAAAUUUACAAUAAAUACUCAAUUUAUCUUUCACAAUCAAAAGAUUGAGAUGUUGUAAGAUCUCCGAUAAUAUACUUAUAUCUUUUCAUUUAUUACGUUUUCAAAUUUGAAUUUUAAUGUGUGUUGUAAGUAUAAAUUUAAAAUAAAAAUAAAAACAAUUAUUAUAUCAAAAUGGCAAAAACAUUUAAUACGUAUUAUUUAAGAAAAAAAUAUGUAAUAAUAUAUUUAUAUUUUAAUAUCUAUUCUUAUGUAUUUUUUAAAAAUCUAUUAUAUAUUGAUCAACUAAAAUAUUUUUAUAUCUACACUUAUUUUGCAUUUUUAUCAAUUUUCUUGCGUUUUUUGGCAUAUUUAAUAAUGACUAUUCUUUAAUAAUCAAUCAUUAUUCUUACAUGGUACAUAUUGUUGGAACCAUAUGAAGUGUCCAUUGCAUUUGACUAUGUGGAUAGUGUUUUGAUCCAGGCCUCCAUUUGCCGCUUAUUAAUUAAUUUGGUAACAGUCCGUACUAAUCAGUUACUUAUCCUUCCUCCAUCAUAAUUAAUCUUGGUAGUCUCGAAUGCCACAACACUGACUAGUCUCUUGGAUCAUAAGAAAAAGCCAAGGAACAAAAGAAGACAAAACACAAUGAGAGUAUCCUUUGCAUAGCAAUGUCUAAGUUCAUAAAAUUCAAACAAAAACGCAAUCACACACAGUGGACAUCACUUAUCCACUAGCUGAUCAGGAUCGCCGCGUCAAGAAAAAAAAACUGGACCCCAAAAGCCAUGCACAACAACACGUACUCACAAAGGUGUCAAUCGAGCAGCCCAAAACAUUCACCAACUCAACCCAUCAUGAGCCCACACAUUUGUUGUUUCUAACCCAACCUCAAACUCGUAUUCUCUUCCGCCACCUCAUUUUUGUUUAUUUCAACACCCGUCAAACUGCAUGCCACCCCGUGGCCAAAUGUCCAUGCAUGUUAACAAGACCUAUGACUAUAAAUAUCUGCAAUCUCGGCCCAGGUUUUCAUCAUCAAGAACCAGUUCAAUAUCCUAGUACACCGUAUUAAAGAAUUUAAGAUAUACUAUGAUGAGAGCGCGGUUCCCAUUACUGUUGCUGGGAGUUGUUUUCCUGGCAUCAGUUUCUGUCUCAUUUGGCAUUGCGUAUUGGGAAAAGCAGAACCCCAGUCACAACAAGUGCCUCCGAAGUUGCAAUAGCGAGAAAGACUCCUACAGGAACCAAGCAUGCCACGCUCGUUGCAACCUCCUUAAGGUGGAGGAAGAAGAAGAAUGCGAAGAAGGUCAAAUUCCACGACCACGACCACAACACCCGGAGAGGGAACGUCAGCAACACGGUGAGAAGGAGGAAGACGAAGGUGAGCAGCCACGUCCAUUCCCAUUCCCACGCCCACGCCAACCUCAUCAAGAGGAAGAGCACGAGCAGAAGGAGGAACACGAAUGGCAUCGCAAGGAGGAAAAACACGGAGGAAAGGGAAGUGAAGAGGAACAAGAUGAACGUGAACACCCACGCCCACACCAACCUCAUCAAAAGGAAGAGGAAAAGCACGAAUGGCAACACAAGCAGGAAAAGCACCAAGGAAAGGAAAGUGAAGAAGAAGAAGAAGACCAAGACGAGGAUGAGGAGCAAGACAAAGAGAGCCAAGAAAGUGAAGGUUCUGAGUCUCAAAGAGAACCACGAAGACAUAAGAAUAAGAACCCUUUUCACUUCAACUCUAAAAGGUUCCAAACUCUCUUCAAAAACCAAUAUGGCCACGUUCGCGUCCUCCAGAGGUUCAACAAACGCUCCCAACAGCUUCAGAAUCUCCGAGACUACCGCAUUUUGGAGUUCAACUCCAAACCCAACACCCUUCUUCUCCCCCACCAUGCUGACGCUGAUUACCUCAUCGUUAUCCUUAACGGUUAGUAUUCCUUUCCUCUCAAAAUAAAAUAAAUGUCAUUAUUUUAUGCGGAUUAAGAAAAAUUAUUAAAUAAAUAAAAACAAAACCAACAAUUUUAUAAAAACUAAUCUUACUAUGACACUUAUUUAAUUAAUUAAUAAACAUCAUCACAUGCUUUUACUUCUCAUAAAAUUAUGUUAUUGAAUUUGUUUUGUUAAUUACAGGGACUGCCAUUCUUACCUUGGUGAACAACGACGACCGAGACUCUUACAACCUUCAAUCUGGCGAUGCCCUAAGAGUCCCUGCAGGAACCACAUACUAUGUGGUUAACCCUGACAACGACGAGAAUCUCAGAAUGAUAACACUCGCCAUACCCGUUAACAAACCCGGUAGAUUUGAGGUACUACUUAUUCUUUAUAACUAAUUAAUUAAUUAUUAUUCUAAUUUGUUUCCAAAUCUUAAGAUCAAUCUUUUUCUUUUCUCUGCAGAGUUUCUUCCUAUCUAGCACUCAAGCUCAACAGUCCUACUUGCAAGGGUUCAGCAAGAAUAUUCUAGAGGCCUCAUACGACGUAAGCAACCAACACACCAUCUAAUACGCUAGCAAAUUCAAUAUUAUCAUUAUCCUUAUAUUUGUUUCCGCGCUUGAUUUUAUAGACCAAAUUCGAGGAGAUAAACAAGGUUCUGUUUGGUAGAGAGGAGGGGCAGCAACAAGGGGAGGAGAGGCUGCAAGAGAGUGUGAUUGUGGAAAUCUCAAAGAAACAAAUUCGGGAACUGAGCAAACAUGCCAAAUCUAGUUCAAGGAAAACCAUUUCUUCUGAAGAUAAACCUUUCAACUUGAGAAGCCGCGACCCCAUCUAUUCCAACAAGCUUGGCAAGUUGUUUGAGAUUACCCCAGAGAAAAACCCUCAGCUUCGGGACUUGGAUGUCUUCCUCAGUGUUGUGGAUAUGAACGAGGUAAGCAGAAAAACUGAACAUGACAAUUGAGUUCUAUUCACUUUCUUCUUAGUUAGAGAAACCUAUUCUUGAGACUUUAAAUAAUGAUUUACUUUUUUCUUUGUUCACAAAUAUAGGGAGCUCUUUUUCUGCCACACUUCAAUUCAAAGGCCAUAGUGGUACUAGUGAUUAAUGAAGGAGAAGCAAACAUUGAACUUGUUGGCAUUAAAGAACAACAACAGAGGCAGCAACAGGAAGAGCAACCUUUGGAAGUGCGGAAAUAUAGAGCUGAAUUGUCUGAACAAGAUAUAUUUGUAAUCCCAGCAGGUUAUCCAGUUGUGGUCAACGCUACCUCAGAUCUGAAUUUCUUUGCUUUUGGUAUCAAUGCCGAGAACAACCAGAGGAACUUCCUUGCAGGUACAUAUUUUGUAUAUCACGAUCAAAUAGAACAUGCUGUUGAAGUGUUGUUACUUUUUUUGUUUUAUUAAUUACAUGUGAAACAUAGCUGACUGAGCUAUUUCUAAUCCUUUGGUGAUUGAAAAUUUGAAGGUUCGAAAGACAAUGUGAUAAGCCAGAUACCUAGUCAAGUGCAGGAGCUUGCGUUCCCUGGGUCUGCAAAAGAUAUUGAGAACCUAAUAAAGAGCCAAAGUGAGUCCUACUUUGUGGAUGCUCAGCCUCAGCAGAAAGAGGAGGGGAACAAGGGAAGAAAGGGUCCUUUGUCUUCAAUUUUGAGGGCUUUUUACUGAAUAAGUAUGUAGUACUAAAAUGUAUGCUGUAAUAGCUCAUAGUGAGCGAGGAAAGUAUCGGGCUAUUUAACUAUGACUUGAGCUCCAUCUAUGAAUAAAUAAAUCAGCAUAUGAUGCUUUUGUUUUGUGUACUUCAACUGUCUGCUUAGCUAAUUUGAUAUGGUUGGCACUUGGCACGUAUAAAUAUGCUGAAGUAAUUUACUCUGAAGCUAAAUUAACUAGAUUAGAUGAGUGUAUUAUAUACAAAAGGCAUUAAAUCAGAUACAUCUUAGACAAAUUGUCACGGUCUACCAGAAAAGAAAUUGCAUUUGUUUUUGGGUCUUUCAGACUGACAAGAUCUGAAGUCUAAACAAUUCUAAGAGGUAUCAUGUAGCAAUGUCCUGCCACAAUAUUGAAUUCAAACAGAGUGAAUGAGAGGAAAGAUCCUUAAGAUCAAUUGAUCAUUGUAAAAUGAUCGUUUAUUCCAAAGUUUCAAUGAAUGAGUACACAUCACGACUUUAUAUAUAGUGUAUUGAAUCAGACGAAUUAAAAUUACUAACAUAAAUCAUUGGGUGGUUAAUAAACAGAACGAGCUUGAAUUGCUUAUUGCUUUUAGUGGCAAACAGUAUUUUUGCUUUUUGCUUAAAAUUUAAGUGCUGUGCCAGAAGGGUGAAAGUCCAAAAAAACCCUACAUAAAGAACAAUGCAAGAAAGAAGCACAGUACCAAGAAAGAUACAAUAGAGCAGAAUUAGUUAUUAAGAUAAAUUUAGUGCUUUUAACUAGAAUAACUAGUUUUGUUGAUCUAGUAAUUUAGUUAAUUAGUCUUAUAAAAAGGAUAUUAUGGAGACCAAUCAUCUAUAACAAUGAUUAUUCUUUAAACAUCAAAUUAGCCAUUAUACUUCAAUACUGUUGGCAAAUGAAGAAUUUUAAAAAUCAGGAACCAAAAAAGUUUUCAUUCAUACAGCAGAACACAUUGUUUCUGAUACAUAUAUUUGCUUACAUAAACAUAAGAGUAAGUACAACAGGCUUCUACUAUCUAACAAGUUAACCAGCCAGUUACCCAACUUAGUUAAAAAGCUUAACACAUUGUACUUUUGUCUGAAAACACAUUAAUUACUACAUAAAUUAAAGAAUGAAGUACAAUUACAGAUUGCAAUAACUGUUGGACAUUAGAAAAUUCAGUAACAUUAACAUUCCUCCGUGAAAUUUUGAAUGAACACUCCAAACAAGUGUCUAAGUCUUGGGAAGAGCUUUAGUCAAUAUAUGGUCUUCAUACCACGAACCAAUUGGGGAUAACUAAUCCUAAAUACAAGUCUUCUACUCCUAGAACACCGAAUGUUCUUUAACAAAAACACUUCACUUUACAGCCAAUAACUUUUCUUUUUGUUUGAGUUUUCUGUGUCAAUUCGUACGAAUUAAACUAUUAGCUUCAAGUAACAUGCUAAAACAGUGUAGGAAAACAAUAAACUAUUCCUUUUGCACAAAUCUAUGGUUGGGUGCUAUGGUUCUUAAUUACCAAUGCAACUAAACUUUUUUUUUUUUUUUAAUUAUAGCUUGCCUCCAUAACUCCUUUAAUUUGCAACUUAUUAAUUAGUUUGACCGUGCAGAUCAAUUACUUGUCUUUCCUCCGCCAUAGUAAUUACUAUCUCACUCCGUGUGUAUAACUAUAACUAUAAAUACCCCUAAUCUCACUCCUUGUUGUUUCAUCAUCGAUCGAGAAGUGUAAUGACCUAAGCAAUAUUCCCUACAAUACAACAAUACUACACUAUAUUAUACUAUGAUGAGAGCGCGGUAUCCGUUGUUGCUGUUGCUGGGAAUUGUUUUCCUGGCAUCAGUUUCUGUCUUAUUUGGCAUUAUACAGAAGCAGCAAUGCCUACAGAGUUGCGAGAUCGAGCGAGCAGGAUCCGUACAGGCUGCAACAAUGUAAGAUUCGUUGCAAGCUUGUUUCCUGAGCGUGAGGAGCAACAAGAAGAAAAAGAAGAAAGAGAACAUCAACGAGCACAACCCCAACCACCACACUAGGAGAGGGGACCCCAUGAGGGUAAGAAGGCGGAAAAGGAACAAGACGACCGUGAGCAACCUCGUCCGUUUCCACGUCCUAAUCACAAAUAGCACAAACAGCACAAACGGCCUCAUGGAAAUCCUGAAGAAUGUGAAGGUUCGGAUGAGUCAGUCACAAAAACGAAACAACCUUUAUCACUUCAGCUCUAACAGCUUCGACACUCUCUUCAAGAACCAAUAUGGUCACAUUCGUCUCUUCCAGAGGUUCAACCAACGUUCUCCACAACUUGAGAAUCUUCGAGACUACCACGUUGUGGAGUUCAAGUUCAACCCCAACGCCCUCUUUCUCCCCCACCAUGCUGAUUCUGAAUUCCUCUUGGUUCUCAUUAGCCGUAGUUAAUUACUACUAAUUCAACAUCACCACAUUUGCUUCUGCUUGUAUAAAUAAUAAUGGUAAUGAAUAAUUUGUUUGGUUGUUAAUUACAAGGAGAGGCUUCAUCCUGGCGAUGCCCUGAGAAUCCCUGCUGGAACCACUUACUAUUUGGUUAACCCUGACUACAAGGAAACAUUCCCGAGUAGUCACACUCGCCAUACCCCUUAACAAACCUGGAAGAUUUCAGGUACUGCCUUUUCUAAUUCAUAACUAAUUAAUUAUUCUUUUAAUUUGUUUCCAGUUGUGAAGAUCAUCAAUCUUUGUCUUUUCCGUGUAGAGUUUCUUCCUAUCCAGCAAUCCUACUUGCAAGGGUUCAGCGAGAAUAUUCUGGAGGCCUCCUUCAACGUAAGCAAGCAACACACCAUCUAAUUUGCAUUUCCAUUUAGUGGUAUGUCUAAAUGACACACUAACUAAAUAUUAUCAUUAGUUAUACUUGCUUGAUUUUAUAGACCGAAUUCGAGGAGAUAAACAGGGUUCUGUUGGGAGAGGAGGGGCAACAACAAGGCGUGCAGAGGCUGCAAGAGAGAGUGAUGGUGGAACUGUCAAAGGAACAGAUUCAGGAACUUAGCAGACAUGCCAAAUCUAGUUCAAGAAAAACCAUUACCUCCAAAAACGAACCAUUCAACUUGAGAAGCCGCAAACCUAUCUAUUCCAACAAGUUUGGUAAGUUCCAUGAGAUAACCCCCUAAAAAAAACCACAGCUUCGGGACUUGGAUAUCUUCUUAGUUAGAGAACCCAAUUAUUGAGGCUUUAAAUAAUGAUUUACUUUUUUUGUUAACAAAAAUAUAAGGAGCUCUUCUUCUACCACACUUCAAUUCAAAGGCCAUAGUGAUACUAGUGAUUAAUGAAGGAGAAGCAAACAUUGAACUUGUGAGUCUAAGAGAACAACAACAGGAAGAGGAACCUUUGGAAGUGCAAAGGUACAGAGUUGAAUUGUUUGAAGACGAUAUAUAUAUUUGUAAUCCCAGCAGCUUAUCCAUUUGUCGUCAAAUCUCAAUUUCCUUGCUUUUGGUAUUAAUGCCGAGAACAACCAGAGAAACUUCCCUGCAGGUAUGUAUCAAAAUCAAAUAAAAUAUACUGUUGUUACUUUUUUGUUUUUAUUGCUGUGAGAGUGGAAUGUAUCGGCCAUGUAACUAUAAUAAUUUGAGCCCCACCCUUGCUUCUACUAUGAAUAAAUAAAUCGAGCAUACGAUGCUUGUGUUUUGUGUCCUUCAACUGUAUAAUUUUAUAUGGUUGGCACGAAUCAAUAUGUUAAAGUAAUUUACUUUGAAUCUAAAUUAUCUGAAUUAUGACGUGUAUUAAAUGAAAAAAAGACAUUAAAUUAGAUACAUCUUCGACAAAGUGUUACGGUCUACCAGAAAAGCUAUUGACUUUGUUUUCAAGUCUGCCAGACGACUGAAAAGAUGUUUGAAAGCCACAUAUACAACAAAUACAUAAAACGCAGGCAAGAAGCAAUAUUCAAAACAUCACUCAUUCAGAGGGCUCCCUUUGAUUGUGAUAAAAUAAAUUGGAAAAUUGUUAUUGGUGGAAGAGAAUUAGAAAGUUGUUUGGGGAGCGCACCCUGGAUGACCAUUGACCCGGCCAAUCAUCCUCCGCUACUGCGGCACCGCCUCCAUGAUCCUCGCCGAGUUAAUGGGCUCCAUCAUCACCUCAGCGUCGCCCUCUGCAUCUCCGAUUGCCUCCGCUGUCUCCUCCUCCCCCCAAACUCAAACUAGCGAAGGAAAGAAGUCCAUGAAGCGCAAAGUUGGAUUAGAUCACCAAGUUCAAUUUGGCAAUCACCUUGUCCUUCGAGGAUCAACAAUGUGCCCUUGAAUUCGAAGCAAUGUGGAAUUCGAACAAGUGAUCCAUCCCUAUCCUAUUAGCGUCAGUCUAAUUCCACUCAUAUUCUUCCAUUAUUACAGCUAUAACGUUUUUUCAGAAUAUAUUAAUGUGAUUACACAUUCUUUUAGGAUUGAAUUACUACUACAACAGCUUCUUAAAAAUAAAGAGAAAUAAAAAGCAAUAUUAAUUAUUUCAUAGGAUUUUAUAUUUAUAAAUCUAUACGCAGGAAAGAUUAAAAAAAAGUAUGCAAUAAAGUUAUAAAAUAUAAAAAUUACAUUCUAAACUUUGAUUAAAACUAUUGAAAUAAUGUAUAAGAUUAUUGAAAAUAUUAAAAACAUAUUUCAGAGGUGUUGAAAAUAUUUAAUAUUAAAAUGUUAUUGAAAAUAUUAAAAACAUAUAAUAUAUUAAAAUAUAUUUUUAUUUGUUGAACUUACAAUAUUUUAUUAAAAAUAGCUUUUAUGAUAUUUCGAUUCUGAAAUAUUGAAAAUAUUUAUAAUAAAAUAUAAAAAAAUGAUUUUUAAAAAAUAAAAAUAAAAUAUUUUAAAAAAAUAUUAAAAUCACAUAUUUUGAAAAAUAUAUAAGUAAAAAAUUAAGAUAAUGUAUUUUUUUAAAUAGCUUUAUAAUAUUUUGAUUAAAAAAGUAUAGACAAAUAUCAAAAUAUAGCAGUAAAUUCUUAAAAUAUAUAUAGUAAAUUUAAAUUAUGUAAACUUAAAAAAUAAAAUAAAAAUAACAUCAAAACAUUUAAAAAUAUAAAUUAAUUCAAAUAUAUUGAAACUAAAAUUUAUAGGUAAAUUAUAUUAUGCCUAAAAAGUGAGUUAUUCUAAUAUUAUUAUAUUUGUAAAAUUAUGAAAAUAAAAUUGAAAAGUAAAAGAAGGAAAAACAACACCUCUCUCUGAUAUAACGACAACAUUAACAAGUGGAGUGGUGCGGAAAGUGUAUUCUUCCUUUGAAGAGAGAUCCUACGAGUAGCUAUGGAACUUUAGUUUUUCCAAUGCCAUCUGCACCAAUUUCAAACCAUAUAUAGAUGGAGGAUAACACUGCAAUAUGCAACAAACUAUGAGUACUUGAUCAUGGUAUUAAUUAACACAUGCUUCUACAUUCAAACAAGUAUAAUAAUGAACACAUCACUGAAACUCUCACAUAUACAACUAUACAUAAAGCACUGACAAAGAAAUAAUUUAACAAAUCAAAAGCAAUAAAAAGAAAUAACACAAAACAAAAAUACAAGAAACAAUAUUCAAAAAGCAUUAAUUAAACAUCCGAGGCCGCAUUGACAAUUUCCCUGACAUCAAAUUGAGACAACACCGAGCAAGGUAAAAGAGCUACUCACAAGAUGCUAUGUUUGGUUAAAAAAACACUAAUUGUGUUUGGUUAUCGUUCAUCACACACCUAAAAGAGAUAGAUUUGCACAUAAUAAUAACCUGAUUGAAUUAAAAUGUUGUCAAUGAUUUUUCAACCAUCUAAACAACCAAUUUGAAAUCCUUUACAGUCAAUACUUAAAUGUUGUACAGUAAGAAUGGUAUUUGGGCAAUGAUACAUUAAACCUAAAACAUUUUUUUAAAGGAAAAUAUCAACCAAUUUGAAAUCCUCUACAUGCAGUCAAUACUUAAAUUUUAACAUUGGUAACUACCCAACAAUAUAUAAACCUAAAACAAUCAUAUUACAGUCAAAUAUCAAUUUUAUAGAUCAACAUCAAUUCCAAAUAUAAUACCUACGAUAAAAGAAAAUAUGUGCUAAUUUAAUACGUAGUACUAUUUAAAUAAUUUUAAAGUAAAUUUAAUAAUUUUUAAUAUGUAUAUCCAGGUGCAAAUUUUAGAUAAAUGCUUUCUAGCUUUUAAUUAUAAUUACUAAAUUUUUUUAUAUCUAUUCAUUUUACAUCUUUCAUCCAUUAGACAAACCCAUUUCAUAAACUUCUCUUAAUUAUGUUAUAAUUGUUAUUCUUUAAUAAUGAAUGAUUGUUCUUACAUGGUACAAUUGUAUGAGGGAAUUUGAUCAAUAUAGGUUAUUUUUUAAAAUUAAAUAUCAUUUUAGGGUGAUUUUUAAACAAUUUACAAGACUGAAUAAUUUUUAAGUGGUGUCACUAAAUCAUUCACAUACCUAAAUUGGUGACACUUCCUUAAAAUAACACCACCCGGAGAAACUGAUGAAUUGGCGUUGCCAAUUUUCUACGUAAGGAUCAUCUAGGCUGAUAAAUUGUUUAAAGAACACCUUGAAGUGGUAUUUUAAAAAGUUUUAACAAAUAACCUAUAUUAAUCAAAUUGGCCUUGUAUGAUGUCCACUCGAUGUUUUCGUUCUUGUUUUGAUAGGCACCCAUUACUUAUCUAUAUAUCCUCCGGCAUAUAUAGUUAUAUGGUUGUGUACGUAUUUUUGUUUUAUUGAUGGUACCGGAUGGAGUAGCAUGCAUAAGAGUAUACAGUCUCUUUGGAUAUAUAAUGCAUGCGAAGCCGAGAACAGAGACCGAUGUAAAGAGCAAAACGUUAAGUAUCCUUUCCAAAACCAAUUGUCUAAGUGUUGGAUUACAAGUAGGAGUUAAAGUUUCAUAUCGGAUAAAAAUAAAAAAGUUGAGUACCAUUUAAAUAAGAAGAAGACCCAUAAACUUAUGUCUCAAGAUUUUGGGUUAAAAUGUAGUAUUAAGUUCUCUUAUAUGGUAGCUAACUACUAUUCUGAGAGAAUUUGUCGGUCAAAUUUUUUUUGUACGAUAUCAGCCAAAAGUAUUUUUUACCGAUAUCGGCUAAGAUUUUUUUAGAUGAUGUUGGUUAAAGUUAUUUUCUCACUGACGCCAAUCAUGAGAAUUUUUUGCUGACGUUGGCCAAGGAAUUUUUGGUCGUUGUCAUCACGGUUUUUUCAAUUGAUGUUGACCAAUGGUUUUUUUGUCGACAUCGGCUAGAUUUUUUUUAUUGACAUCGGUCAUGACUAACUCUUAAGUAUACACCUGCUAUGGUUUUUCAAUCGACAUCAACUUGGUUUUUCCAGCCAAUAUCAGCCAAAGCUAUUUUUUAACCAAUAUCAGCUAGGGUUAUUUUUCAAUUGAUAUUAACUAGGGUGUUUUAGCUGAUGUCAACUAGAUUUUCUUAACCGAUGUCCGUUAGGAUUUUUUUGCUGACAUCAACUAGGGUUUUCUGAGUGACAUCAGUCAGAGCUAUUUCUUAACCACAUUAGUUAGGUUUUUUAGUUGAUGUUGGUUAGGAUUUUUUCUACUAACAUUAGCUAGGUAUUUUUGACUGACAUCGGACAUGACUAUUUUUAGUUGAAAUCAAUUAGGUUCUUACAAUCGACAUCAGUUAGAGCUAUUUUUUAGCCAACAUCAGUCAAGGCUAUUUUACAGCUAAUGUUGGGUAGGUUUUUUGUUUGAUAUUGGUCAGGGCUAUUUUUAGCCAACUUCGACAAAGGAUUUUUCGAUUAAUGUUGACCAAUGAUGUUUUUCGGCCGACAUUGAGUAGGUUUUAUUGGUCAGCAUCGACCAAGUUAUUUUUUAGCUGAUAUUGGAUAGAUUUUUUUGUCAACGCCUGCUAGGAUUUUUUAGGCCGAUGUUGACCAAAAAUAGUCUUGGUCAAUAUUGUUCAAAAAGAUUCUAACCGGUGUCGACCAAACAAACCUUAGCAGACGUUAGUCAAAAAAACCUAGCUAACAUCGGCUGAAAAAUAAACUCAACCAACGCUAGUCGAAAAAUAGCUCUGACUAACGUCAGCUGAAAAAUAUUUUCGGUAUAUUUUGACAAAAAAAAAACCCUAUUUGAUGUCGAUCGAAAAAUAGUCAUGGUUAAUGUUGGUUUAAAAACACCACUGCUUGUGAUCAGACAAAACAACCAUAGUUAAAAUUAUCAAUAUUUUGUAUUUUUAAAUUAUUAAAAAUUGAAAAAUAUUUUUUAAUUAAUAUUUCAAAAUUACAUUGUGUUUGUUUUCUAUAAAAUUUAAUAUUAAAAUUUCAUCUAUUUAAAAUAUAAAAUUAAAAUUUUACAUAUGAAGAAAAAUGAAUUAUCCUAUUCAAAUAAAGAAUUUAAAAUUGAAAAAAUUUAAAUUAAUUUAUUUAAAUAAAACUUUUAAAAAAUGAAAGAAAUUAAAAUUAAAACAAUUCAAAUUCUAUAAACAUUUCAAAAUUGCUUAUAGAGACACAAGAUUACUAUCUACCAGAAAAGCAAUCAACUUUGUUUUCAAUUCUUCAACUGCUCAAUUCUGUGCUUAAUUACUUUGAUACGCAUGCUGGUUGGCACGGAAUUCAAUUAAAAAAUGUUUUUUUAUUACAAUUAAAUUAAUACGAAAAUUUUAUGAGAACAAAAUUAAUAUCUUUUAAAAUUCUACAAAAUAUCAAAUAUAUUUUAUUCAUAAAUAUUUCACCAUGUUUGUAAUUAAACACGAAAAUUUGAACUUUAAUUAAAUAACAUGCUAUCACUUGCAGUUGGGAAAAUAAUCAACUAAUUACGUUUAUAAAAUUCUAGAUUGAGUCCUCCUUGGUUCUUACCAAGUCAGGUAAACUUGUUUUCUCCUUACUUAGAUCCGGCACGGGCUUAAAAAGUAAAGUAUAACAUGAAUCAAGAUAAAUCUCUUGCGGCAAAUUAAGUUAAGAUACUUUAAAUUAGUGAUAAUUUUUUUUUAAAAUAUUUGAAAAAUAGAUCACUCGUACAAUCAAGAAUGUGGAUCUAUUAUUGAGAGAAUUGAAUCAUGACUUAGUGAUGGUGAAGGUCUGAGUAGUUUGCACAAAUUUUUAAGUUCUAAAUUUUUUUAUCAUCAUUGUAAAAACAAUCAUCAUUGAGAAAAUUAAAAGUUUUAGAUGAAAAGCGUAAUUAAAAUUUUAAUAAUUUAUUUUUUUAAGAAAAAUGAAGAGAUUCAUAAUUGGGUUAUCCAUUUAAAUAUCAAAUGAUAAUGAACAACAUUUUACUUUAAGAGGGGGCGGUGCCUGCAGAUGUCCUUGGACUUGCCCCUGCUCUGGCUGCCGACCACCGCAACCUGAGGGAGGUCGAUGGCGGAGCGGCUCCCCUCGCGGCUGAAGAUGUCCUGGAGUGUAGAGAGAGAAGAAGCGUCGAGAAAAAGUGAGCAACGUAAGGUCUCAAUGUGAACAUCAAGGGGUAUGUAAGAUAGAGUAAAUCUAACAAACCAAUUUUUAUUGUUUUUGAAAUAAGGGUAAAACAACUUUAAAUCUAACAACACAAAUUUUGUCAAACACGUUUUUACAGACUGACUGACAACCACCCAUAGGUACUGUUAAGCAACCGCAUAACACCCUACUUCACUUCACUUCACUUAUCCACUAACUGUUCAAGAUCGCCGCAUCCGUACGUAUAUAUCUAAAACUAAAAGGACUGGACCCCAAAUGCCAUGCACAACAACACGUAUUCACCAAUGUGUCCACCUUGCCGCUCAAAUCGCUCAUAACCUCAUCCCACGAGUCCAAUGCGAACCAACCCUAAAUAAAUAACUAAAAUAAGACCCGUAUUCUUUUCAACCACCCCAAUUUUGUUCAACAAUUCAACACACGUCACUCUGCAUGCCCAUCCUGUGGCCAAAUUUUCAUGCAAGUUAACCAAAGUCGCUUUUUCUCUUCUGUAACUAUAUAUAUAUAUAUAUAUAUAUAUAUAUAUAUAGCUCUAAUCUCACACCGUGUUUUCAUCAUCACACAAGAGCGAGCGCAACAUUAUUCGAGUACGUAGCUUAACAAUAUUUUAAGCAAUUGCUGCUACAAUGAUAGCGCGGUUUCCUUUGUUGCCGUUGCUGUUGCUGGGAAUUGUUUUUCUAGCAUCAGUUUCUGUCUCAUUACAGGUGAAGCCGCCGAGUCACCACGAGUGCCUCCAGAGUUGCGAGAGUGAAACGGAUCCAUACAAGCGGAAAGCAUGCAAGCUUAGUUGCAAGUUCGUUCCUGAGCACGGGGAGCAACAACAUGAAGAAGAAGAAAGAGAAAGAGAACAUCCACAACCACACCCACCACACGAGGAGAGAGGACGUAGAGAAAGAGGACGCCAGGAAGGUGAGAAGGAGGAAAAGGAACAAGACGAGCGUGAAUUACAACCACGUCCAUUUCCACGACCAGAGGAGCAU
RNAcentral lists this long non-coding RNA (50197 nucleotides) under Glycine max (soybean). RNAcentral describes it as "long non-coding RNA (GMAX_LNC002346)". The record is from RNAcentral. Lineage: Eukaryota; Viridiplantae; Streptophyta; Magnoliopsida; Fabales; Fabaceae.